UUUAUUGCUCUAGUAGUGGCUGGGCUAGUUGAAUACCUAGUAGCAAUGGGGUAUACGCGGGAAGGAAUGUAUAAAUGCUUGUGCCUGAGCCAAAGAAGGAAUCAUAGUGGAUUGAGGUCUACCGGCGUCAGUAGUUGAUUUACGAACUUCCAUAUACGAGGAGGAAACAAGCAUCAUUAUUGAUGAUGAAGCAAACAAGUAAACAAGCAACAGCAACUAAGUGCAUCAGCGAGUCUUAUAUCUGAUCUUGUUUCCAGGUUGAAUAUAAGUAAGUGCAAGCAUAGAAGCCCUAUAACUUAUAAUGGGCCGCUCAUUCUUCUAAUAGUAUGAGAAGGAUCAGAUGUUGUUCGAGUUAAGUAUCUUGGUGUUGCUCUAAACCCACCUUUUAUUCCACUUGUGCUUGGUGUUGCUCUAAACCCAACAAAAGUCACUACGCAUAGGAAAAAAUGCAUUCGUUGUCAAGUUUAUUAGAAGAAAUUAGGGAAACGCUAGUAAUUCGCUUUAAAUGGCAUUUACCUUAAUCAUUAUCCUUUACCUUAAUUCAGACUUGGCAUCAAAGUAAAGUGAAAGUGAGCUGCCUUGCACUAACAGAGUUCUUAAGGUAACCGAAAUCUUAUGGAUAUUUAUAGUUGGUAAUCACAGAGUGGUAGGUUGUGCUAAGAGUUAUAGCUUUAAAUACCUUAAUAUUAGGGUGCGAGUGUUUCGGUUAAGUCUGAGUACAAGUCUCUUUAAGCAAGGGAACCCUCAAUGGAAGCAGCCCUUAAGUGAAAUGCAGAAGUAGAGUCCAGGCAAUUCAAUCAGUGUCAUCCCCUCUCUUACCCACUUCCUAUUGUCUAGGGCAAAGAAAGCAGAUAGGGAUUUGGUUACUUUACUUAUAUCUUAUAAUACAUAGCUCAUGAUUCUUUUCUGUUUCCGGACAUCUCGCUUCAAAGGCAUUCUAUCUAAACUAGCAUUGCUUAACAUAAGCCUUACUUAUAUUGGAGUAUCAAACCUAGUAGCUGCUUGGCCCCCCUUCUUAAAGGAAGUAACACGUACUGCCUCGAACAACAUCUUUUCUCUUUACCACCCAACGCCUUCCUAUGAUGAAAUAAUUACUAGAUCUAUACAAGACCCCUUAAGGAGGUUCAAUUCUGUUCACUUCCACUUUGCGCCUUAUCAACCUCAACCUGUAUUAGAUUUGAGUGCCGAAGAUCAGAUAACUCUCUAACACGCAUCCUGAACUAAAGUGAAGUCUAUUAUAUAAGUGAUUCAACUCCGUAUUCACUAACUAGUUAACUUCUCCCUUGCCCAACCCCAGUACGAUAAGUCAAAGAACAGGAACAGGACUACUACUUGUAAACUUCAGAGAAGACUAAACUAGGGAUUCCGGAUACUCUACUAAAUAAUUAGCUGUGCGAGGAAAGUCAACUAUAGAACACACCACUCGGUAAUAACCUUAGGACUCGGAAGCCCAUAAUCAGUAAAGCUUAUAGUGAAGGCUCUGCUCUACUGGGCGAGAUCAUCUAGACAACUUGGCCUAGCGCUGGCUCAUUGCUUUUUUAUACUAAUACUAAGCUUGCCUGUGAACUUAUCUUUAGCACUUACUUUGGCACAGCUUCUAAAUGGGAUGAAACUCACACAGGAGCAGUAACAGAAUGGAUUGAAUCUCUCUCCUCGCCUCGUGGGCAUGCUUGUAUAUGCUUGUCUCCUACUUACUGGUGGAAUUCUUGGAUUUCCUGGGUGCAUUCUUUCACUACUGAGUUGCCUUGGAGCGGCGGAGUCAAUGAAAGACUUUUACCGUAGCUUGGCCCGUUGCUUGGCCCCUUACCCGUGAAUGGAGUCCCAGACGCCAAGAAAGACCUCGGGAUUCUAAACACAAACUUUCUAUCUCCUCUCGCCAGAAGUCCAUAUCUAUAAGGUAUAUUAUAUCAGUUAGAAGGUUCAUUAUAUCCGUUAGAGUUUUGAAGCAAACUAAGAAAGACCCAUACAUUUCCUUUAGACAGCGUCACGACGCCAUACACUCUGUUAAUGAAAGAAAAGGCAUUCCACUUCGAAAAUAGAGAUCUCGCCCACCCAAUAGUGCCUUCACUAGAAUGGAAAGUGGUUUAGAGAGAAGUUGUUGUUGUUUAGAGGUGCCUUCACUAGAAUGAGUAGUAGUAUAAGUUUAGGCCUUCCAAAUGAGAUUAGGUUCGUGUUAUUACGACUGAUGAGCGAGUGAGUCUGACUUUAGUGUAUGUAGUGAAGAAAAAGGGUCGACUACGUUGAGUAUUCUCGACCACCAGGGGAAGUUCUAUUACUAGAAAGCAGUGGGGGGGAAAUUCCAACAUCAACUUGGUUAUUGGACUGGAAUCCCAUUAGGUUGGAAGUUGAGAAAGAUGAAAGGAACGAAAACCCUGCACAACGGCUGCGAAACUCAAAGAAGGAUCAAAAAAGCACUAAAAGAAGGAGAAAAGGGAAGAUUCUUGAUGAAGCAAAUAUCUCUGUGUAGAACAAUCUCAUAAAGAUGAAGCAAAUAUCUCCGUGUAGAACAAUCUCAUAAAGACAGACCAAGGCUCGAGAAAAGAAAUAGAACGAUUGAGUCAGAGCAGAGUUUAUGAGGGAAAGGAAAGGGGUAAAGAAAGGUCUAGGGAGCAGCUACACUAAGAAUGGGACUAAAUCUAAUGCGCUAUCUCGUACCGAUUCCUUCUUUUCAGUCCCAACUCAACUCUCUUGGACUUAUUGUAAUGGCGGUUAAUGCUUGUUCGGUUAAUGAAGUAGAAAGUCAACCACUAUUAUAGAAAUGAAAUAAACUCACCAUCCAUAAAUAGAUCAUUAUUAUAUAUAUCCUAUAAUAGAAUAGAGUAACUAAGCACCGAAACACUACUUACUAGCCCCCUAAACUAACUGGUGACUGCUUUCUGGUUACUUGCUUAGCUUUUGCUUUAUGACUUACGCCGUAGCUUUUUGACUUGUUGACUUUAGUUUGUUUGUUCCGUAGCUUUUUCUCUAUGUUUUGAUUCUUUCGUUCCCAAUCUCUUACUACCGAGCUUCACUACAGCAGAAAAGGAGCGCACUCAUAUUUCUCUGGUUUUAAUUAGUAGCAAGUUCUUCUAUACCUCUGGCUCAUCCACCUCAGGCAACAAAUGAUUGUACUGCUGACUCAUCUCUGCUAACUUCAUUCGGAUCCGAUACCUCUGUAAACAGCCAAGCUACUAGGCAAGUCCAGUUUACUAAGAGCAAGCCCUAACUCUCCACUUUCAGGUUCUUUCCUUACACUAGAAACUAACUUAUUGAAUGAAAUUGAAGAUUACCCGCUUCUACACUACAUGAUACCAGCAUGAAAUAAGUGUGUGGCGCACUUUAUACCCUACCGCUCCGUGGGCAGUCGAAAAGAGCUUAUCGAUUAGACUAAACUUCGAUUGAUGAACCAAAAUAGUAAGCUAAACUCUCUAAACUUGGGUAUAAGAACCUAUCUCACCGAACCUAUACUCGAACCCUAUCUCUACACUUGAGGAAUCGCACUCAACAAAGAAUUCCAUUUACCUUACCCCGAGUCGACUCCUUAGCGCCGAGUCAAACUGUCAUUCACUCUAUCGAGCGCAGAACUAAGAGCAUAUAAUUGAGCUCUGAACUUACCCUUGACCUCAGACAUGCGACUGGCAAUUCUACAGCUUCGGAUUCAUUCGUGGACUUAACUCGCACAGAAAGACACUCUGAAACACCACCGCUUUUAUCUAACUCACUUUCUCAGGAUUCUUCUCCAGCUUAUGUUUCAUCUACUGAUCUUUCCACUCACACUAUACUUUCUGGACGAAAACAAUACUUCACUGUCAAAAGAGGAGGAUACUCUACUUCCUCAUCUGCUCUAUCUUCGGCUUCAGAUCAAUAGGAAUCUGCUUACCCGACCCGAACUAACUAAAGAAUCCACCCCACUACUAGCAAGCCUACUACUAGCAACCCUGCUUCAAAGCCUUAGACUGAUGAGUGGAAUUCUUAUCUUAGUAUCGGUGGUACUGGUUUCAGUAUAUGCCUGUAGAUUUGCAUUCUUUACCUGUAGUUGAUAGUAGCUACCUCGACUCUGGACUAGCUUGCCCACCUCCGUGGAAACCUAUAUCCUAUAUAAUAACAGAUAGAAUGAAGUAGGGGGCCAAGGAACUACUAGACAAGAGCUAAGCAAGAAGGAGUGAAGGAAUGAAAUCAAGUGCCAAAUUACUAUAAGGGUCCAGUGAGAAAGUAAGGUUAUUACCCAUCUGCCGCAUCUAGUAGUAGUCCAAGUAGUAGUCCCAGUAGUAUAGUAGUAGAGAGGGGAGCAAGACCCUUCUAUUAAGUUUGGAGAGUAGCCAGCUGCAGGGCAUCACUAGUUCUAUUCUUUGACUCGGACCGGAUAGCCACCAAGCAACUACUAAUGACCAAGCCACGACUAAUGUGGCGACCAAGCAACGGCGCGCCAAGUAACUACUAAUGUUACGCGGCAGCAAAUGACAGUCAUAACGGCCAAGCAACGGCGCAAGACGUUGUACGGCAGGAGCUAUAGCUAAGUUCUGUCUUCGUAGAUGCUCUCGGCGGUAGCAACAGUAAUAGGCCAAGCAACUACUAACGUUGCGCGGCAGGGCCGCUCCACUCUUUUUAUUACAAUAGAUGUUUUCGGGAGUCUGAGCUAAACGGUAGCGAGUUAAGGACCGAUUAGCUCCAUUCUAUGACUCCCCUGUUUCGUUCUAGGACUCCCCGGUUUCGUUCUGUAUUUAGUAGCUCAGUAGCACUGGUUUAAGCCUUGGAUGCACUCGUUUCAGUCUGAAAGUAAGUGAUUUGAUUCUUGUUGCACGAGUAACAACAGAGCAUUGUUUCCUAACCGAAUCGAGUAACAACAGAGCUUCGAGACUCACGUAAGCACAAGGCCUUGAUCCAGGAGUUCAUUUCAAGGACAUACUUUCCUUUACAAACCGUUUUUCCAGAUUCGAGGUUGAAUUCCAAGCCAAACCUUCUGGUACGAGCGAGCUACUUACGCUUCAGCUGAACCCGGAGGCGGAUAUACUGAAUGGAAUCAAUCCCUUUGAUUAUUCAUCCUCGUUUUCCUGAGCAACUUGACCCCUACUCCUGGACGAUUCUUCAAUCUAUUCUCGAUGACCGACGUACCUCUAUUUGACUCUAUUUGAUCUCGAAUUCCUUCCUUGGUCAGAUCCCUUUCCUAUUGUCUUGGGUAUAAGUACUUAUUAAUAGAAAACAUAGUAGUAGUAGACUAGUUGAGUUAAUAUCCAAAGUCGUAGUAGGCUAGUUUAGGCGAGAAAAGCUUCCGCUGGGAGUUCUUUGAAAAGAAUGAAACUACACUAAUGUAUUUGAACGUAAACUCAUUCUAUUACUCCUGACUUUUGAACGUAAACUCAUUCUAUUACUCCUUACAGUUAUUACGGACUACUUACUCCAAUGAGUGUUAGCUAGCAAGGGAACAAGAAAAUGUUCUUUGAAGCUGUAGUUUGUUGGGCUCAGUAAGAAUGGAAUGGAAUGUUGUGCAAAAGAAAUAGAAGCAUAAGAGAGCGAAAGAACAAGAAGAACGAAUCCAGAGAGGCACCUUCUAUAAAAGAACUCCGGACGCCAAUUACUUAAGGGCACCGAAAUGAAGAACUUUACUUUGUUUGCCCAAGAGCACUAAGGGUUCGCAAAGACCCUGUCUCCAUACAUAGGUUCUAUAGUAGCCGCGUCGGGGAGAAGAGAAAGAAGGAUUCGAAAACGAAAUCUCCCUUGCUGCACCCUCUCUCUGCCUUUGUCCUUUAAUCAGGUGUACUGGGUUCCUAACUCCAUUCAACAAGUAUAACUCGCACCCGAACCCAUACCUUCCUCCCACUGCUAAUGCGCUCUAGAUCAUACCCUAGAAGUAUCAGCAAGUAUUCAUGUUCUGAAUUGAGAAUAUACCUCUUACCGAGCCCUGUAAAGAAUUAGGGAAAUACCCUGCUCCCGGUCCCAAUAGAGUAUAUGCACUCUCAAGAAGAAAUUCCACAAUUCAUUCUUUGUUGUGAGGGGCGCCAGUUUGCCCAUAGUCGGUAUUCUUAUAUCGAUAUUUGUAGUCAAAGUCUGAGAAGCCCUUGCUCCAUGUACUGUUUAUUUCAUUCUUGGCAGGUAGGAGUCGUUUCUAAGGGUAUCUAUUCUCUGAUGUCUAGUACUAAGAAUAAGAUCCUGUUUCAAAGGUAUUAACUCUAUGAUAUCAAGUACAUCAGGUAUUAAUUCUCUGCGCUUGUUUCAUUACUUGUUUACUGACUUUGUGGGGUGCCUCUAUCCAAUACUAUUUGUUGGGGCAUUUCUACUAGUUGGUGCUGGAAACCAUUCUUUGCGGAAGUAAGAUAAGGAUCCGAUCAAGGAUUAGAAUAAGUAGAAUAAGAAACUAUGAACGGGUAUUCAAGUGUAGAGUCAAGAUCAGGAUCAGUGUGUUUGUAGUUAAUUAUAUGACUUAGUUGCUUCAUUCUGUAUUUCGAGAAAGGAUCACUAGCAUUAGGGUAGCUCGAGCAGAAGAACCUAUAUCUCAACCACUAAUGAAAGGGAUUCUAGCCGGUAAGUCGCUUGCCCUGUUCGCAAACUCUAUUCUUAAGAAAUCAACUACUAGACAAUAGCGAGCUACAGGGUUGGCUAAGAGCAAAUAGCUAAUCUCUUCUCUUCUGGCCAGUCAGUCAAUACUAACCUAACUCGGCAAACACAUAGCAAGUAAUAAAGAAAUUCUAACUUGGUAUUCUAUCUUAUACUAUUUCUUUGAAGUCGAGUGCGGGUCGGAUGCUACCAGCGGCAUCCCUUGUUUCAUCUUAUUUAUAUAUAAAAGACAGAAUCCAUUAUACAAUACCGGAGUAGCUGCAAAGAGUUUCUAGUGGAAUGAUUUGCAGAUAGGGAGCAGAGAGGAGCCUAAUUCUGAUAUAAAAGAAAGUAGAGGCGUAACCCCGAAACAGUCCCUGGGUGUCAAAUGAACUCGUUUUAGCUCCCUACCGCGCCACUAGUGAACNNNNNNNNNNNNNNNNNNNNNNNNNNNNNNNNNNNNNNNNNNNNNNNNNNNNNNNNNNNNNNNNNNNNNNNNNNNNNNNNNNNNNNNNNNNNNNNNNNNNNNNNNNNNNNNNNNNNNNNNNNNNNNNNNNNNNNNNNNNNNNNNNNNNNNNNNNNNNNNNNNNNNNNNNNNNNNNNNNNNNNNNNNNNNNNNNNNNNNNNNNNNNNNNNNNNNNNNNNNNNNNNNNNNNNNNNNNNNNNNNNNNNNNNNNNNNNNNNNNNNNNNNNNNNNNNNNNNNNNNNNNNNNNNNNNNNNNNNNNNNNNNNNNNNNNNNNNNNNNNNNNNNNNNNNNNNNNNNNNNNNNNNNNNNNNNNNNNNNNNNNNNNNNNNNNNNNNNNNNNNNNNNNNNNNNNNNNNNNNNNNNNNNNNNNNNNNNNNNNNNNNNNNNNNNNNNNNNNNNNNNNNNNNNNNNNNNNNNNNNNNNNNNNNNNNNCGAACACAGGACUUGGUCAUAAAGGAGACAAGCCUCCAACUAAGCACUAAGUAGUAGCUUGGCAGUUUCAAGAGGAGAGGUUUAGUGGAAAGUCAGAAUGAACCUAAGAAGUAGGCAAGUAGGAAAGUAGGAAUCAAAGGGCAAUCGGUGGGCUUUAGCCUAGGGCAACUCUGUAGUUAAUGUCAGAAUUGCACUAAUUAGACCGGAUCUUUCCUCUGAUGCUGAACAAGUUUCUGCUGCUUCAAAGCCUUGACUUUAUUCUUCCUCGGUUUGGGCAUGUUCUCUAUUUACUACCUAGGGCAGGACUACUACUACUGGGCUGCUACUACUUGGACUACGACUUGUUAUGAGUGGCUUCAUUCCUAGAGUGACUAGUGGAAAGGUGCAGUUGGGACUGGCUUCAUUCUAAGAUUGACUAGUGCAAUUCCUUUUAAGUAAGGUGAAGGCCCCUAUAGUAAAGGCUAUAGUUUCAUUCUGUAAUUACUAUUCCGACUUCUGAGGUUGUCUCUGACUUUCAACAAGCACUCCUGGCUUCUAUCUCAAUACCCGGCUAAGCAUGCCUGUAAGGAGAAGAGCAAGAGCCAGAGUUAGGUUUUAGGGUCAAGAGGCCCUUAUAUUAAGUCGCCAUAGUUUAGGUCGGGUUGGUUACUUAUGAAAGGAGUGGGCUGGUAGUAGUUGUUAUAUGACCCGGGGCUCCUGUUGCUAGAGAUUAGGACUCAGGGCCAAGCAACAGUACUAGACUGAGGGGAAUCGGUGGGCUGGUGGAAUUCUGCCUUUCCUAACUUUCUCACUGGAAUUCUGCCUUUCCUAACUUUCUCACUGGAAUGGAACUUCACUCUAAUCUACCAACUUACUAUAAGGCAACUGCUAAGCGUAUACUUUAGAGUUUCAUGAAGACCUUUCCUACCACUGAGUAGAAUUAAGAGUUUCAUCUUGUUUCCUAUAAUAAUCUAAUCUAUCAUUUAGUAGGGGACAAGCCUACAAAGGUGAUCGAUUGACUACUUGCUUAACACAAGCACUGAAGCCUACCCGCCAAGACACUCACUGCUUUCCAUUCCCAUUCCUUUCCUUGCUUGUUCUCUCAUUCUCAUUGCUCAAAAACAAACAUUAGCUAUAGGGCGAAGAGCUCACCCGAUGAAGUCACUCGCGUUGUGAUCAAAGAAUCUAUCUUCUCGCAUUGUGAUCAAAGAAUCCAACUCGUCUAAUAUAGAAAGAAGUCACCUCACUACCUAUUACUUAGAAAGAAGUCACCUCACCACCUAUUACUUAGAAAGAAGUCACCUCACUACCUAUUACUUGUUUUUUCGCGCCCUGAGACUAAAGUAAGGGCAUAAACCUAUAGCUAACAUACUUACUUGUUCUUAUGCCGUUGUUUGUUCCAUUACUUGUUCGAUAAAAUGAUGUUUCUUCCGUUGCGAGCCUAUGGAUCUGCCUUGCUUUGGCCUUCUAUCCCAUCGUCUGGAACUCAAUCCAAAAGAAGCCUGUCCGAGAACAGAUGAAUGCUACUGACUUUGGUUCUUUCACCGCCUUCGACUAGCCCUUAAAUCAAUCGCCAUUCUAGCCCAAGUUUGGAUGGAUUCCUCCAACAAUCAAUGGAUUCUUCUGGCUUGCUUUUGGCUGAUCACAGAAGCAAAAAAGGCUCUUCCUGAUGUGAGAUUUACGAGUCGCUAGAGAGGAGAGGGAAAACUUCUUCUUUCAAAGAUAAUACCAGCCCUUUCUCUCCAUCUAAGAAUCCCUUGGCUACGAAAGAAGGCUAGGCUCCGAUCAAUCCUCUUCCAUAGAUAGUUACCGAUUGCAUCAACCCUUGAAUGAAAUUGUCUAGGUUCGUUGCGAGGGUUGUCAGUUGGGAAUCAAUCUAGGAAUUCAAUAAGUGGGCGAGUGCUAUGCAUAAGAGAAUGCCAGAUAGCCAUCAGCAACAGUAACAACCAACAGGGGGGCAAGCUAACCUUUCUGUCCUUCCCGCCCCGCUUCUAAGCCAACAAAUACAGAUGAAACAAACUCAACUAACGCUGGCCCAACUCGCUAGUAGUAGGCUAAAAGUAACCUAUAUUCAAUGGUUGCGGGACGUGAUAGAGUUUAUUCUGUUUCGCAGUUCUAUUAGCUUUGUCAGUUGUGCACUAUAUUAUCUUUCUAUUCUUGCACCAUUUUAUAGCUCUCAUACAUACCAGCCUCAAUGCCUUGUGCUAACGUAUUGCACCAUUUUAUAGCUCUCAUACAUACAUACCUAUACCAGCCUCAAUGCCUUGUGCUACCGUGAGUUUUCAGUCUGCAGGGUUUUUACUCAAUUCUCGUCUGUAUCAGCAACAUCAGCAGUAAUAGGUAUAUGAGCUCAGUUAGCAAGUUCUAAAGUCAAGGUUCGGGUCAAGAAAGGAGUGAAAGUCUUGUAUAGAACAAUAUUGGUAAUCAGAGUCAGAGAUAUGAAAUUAUUCAGCUUACCCGGACUGCCGGCAUUAGGCACAGGACUGGGGGAAGAAACAGGUCCGAACUACUAGGUAAGAGAAUUGCUAGGUAAAGUUACAGGAAGCGCCUUAACCUGGCUCGAACUGGGCAUUCUAUGACUUCAGAUCUUUAAACAGCUUCAAUUCAGUACUAUUGGUGGGCAAGGGAGCUAUUAAAUACUUCCAAACACCGAUAUCUAAGGAAUUACAGAAUUCCACUCACAAGUGGGAAAGUCAGAUCUUUAUUUGUAGCCAGAGGAGGGGCCUCAUAGAAGAUGUCACACUUCAUGCUCUUAUUGCUGGUAUAAAGGGGUCAGAUGAUUGAUUAGAAGCCGGGGCAGGAUCAGUGUCCGGAUCAAUAGAAUGGCUAGUUCCAGUUCUUUACCGCUACGUGAGCUUAGUUAGUAUAGGUGACUCUCAAUCCGGUGUUCAAAACCAUCAAUCAGGGUCAAUCAAGCGGGUCAAUCGGCGAGUCUUAAACUGUCAAUCAGGUAUUGCAAUAAGUUCAUCUGGUGCUCAAGCCAACAACUUCAAAGGGGAGAAGUUCUCUAACGCUUGACGAAGCAGUAAUUAAGGGCACAGGACGAAGAACACAGCACUUAUUCAUAACCGCCGGACAUGGAACUUGUGCCUUAACCCCUACGUUUAUAGAUUGAUUCGGACAGUUUCGAAUUGACUACUUUAGCCAUGAAGACAGCACUCGUGCAUAGCAACCAAUUAAUACAUUAUGUUUGUUUCUUUAUGCCUUAUGCCUCUAAUCUUUAGAAAAGAAGUGAUGGUACCAACCAGAGCAAGAGGUUUUAUCGACCCCCAAAAACGAUCCUUUUAGAACCGCGCUCGUUGCUUAGUUUGAAACUGCUUUAGCUUCAGAUCGGAUUGCUGGAAUUGAAGAUAGUGCUCUGUUAUUGAAGAAUGGAAUUGUUGAGCACAUGGUCCCGGGAUAGAUGCUUGUAAAGACACAGCUUACCUAUCUUUUGAAUCUUAUUAGGUGUUGUCUUCUAUUUGACCUGAUCCUGAUCAAUAGGGAUCUGCUUCCACAGCUUCUUAUCCCCUUAUGAUGCUUACUUACCUGAUCCUACAUCUGCUGCUUCCUUUCGCACUGAAGCAAGUCCUGUGUUUUGCUAUCCAAUUUCUCAUCUAUCGUGGUCAGGUCAACUAUCAACUCCGGACAAGCUAAUACUAAUAAGGAAAGUAAUAACUAAACAGUCGUUGCGCGGCAGGAGCGGUUCAAAGUAUUAGAGUAGUCCUGUUUCAUCUGUUAGCUCUGGGUCGGUAAAGUAUCAAGAGUCAGGGUUCAUAAAAGAAUCAAGAUCUGUUUCAGGUCGGGUUGACAGCUUCCUUGUAGUUAAGGGUAGAUAAGAUAGGUUUAUAGCUACGUUAAGGGUAGAAAAGAUAGGUUUAUAGCUUAACCGACUGUAUCUGUUCGAAAGUCAAGUUCGGGGGCCAAAGAGAAAUAUAGUACUUACUGGCGCAACGUUGAGAGUACCAGAAACCUAAUCCCCUCUCUUUUCUCCUGCUAGAGUAUAUUAUCCUGUGUAAGUGGAUUCUCCUGCAUAAAUAGAAAGUAAGGAAAGGGAGUUAAAAGAGCAUAAGGAUCCUGACUUUAUGGCACAGCGGAUUCUCUCCUACUUCUGUAUUCAUUUACUGAUCUCGUCUACUCUCUUGCAUCACAACUGCAACAUUCCAUUUCUCUAUGAGACUUAUGCGCAUGUAUAUUCAUUUAAGAGCACGCGGCCCGGCUUGCAAUACGGAAUAAUAUACUGCUCUUUCGAGCGUAGAUGUUAGUCAUUAAGAUUGGAUUGCCGGAAUUGAAUCCAUCGAUCGUUCUCAACAAAGAAUUAUGACACUUUUCCUGAUGCUAAACGUCUUGCCCGAACUCCACUUGUUGAUUACCCGCUUGCUGUUGACCUGGACUUGAAACCUUACAGCUUAGCUGACUCCUUACUCCUCACUUGAAUCUGACCCGCUUGCUUGAGACCCAGUUUCGCCUUAACCUUUAUACUUGACUCGCCUUAGACACAAGCACUGGAACCUCCUUAUACUUCUCGACCGCCGUUGCUUGGUCAUUAGUUGGAGUUUGUCCGUUGCCUGGCGAUUGAAGGAAUGAAUAAAGGCUUUAGACUGCUUUCGAACAAGAAGCAACAGCGAAGAAAGCAAUAAGAGAGUCAAAGGCAAGCUUAGGCGAAAGAAGGCAAUAAGAGAAGAGAGUACAAGCAAGCUUAGGCGAAAGAAGGCAAUAAGAGAGGAGAGUACAAGCAAGCUUAGGCGAAGCUAUAGGGGAGAACUCCGUUUCAAUUCCAUAUAUGCGCAUUAGUUCCGUUCAAUUUCCAUUCAUGUUAGCUAUGCUCUGUUAGGUUCAUCUCUUAUAGAAUGCGCAGAUCAUGUUCUUAAAGCACUUUGACUAUAGUCUCGUAUAGGGGAAGGGUGUUUAGCUGAGUUUUCUUAAAGUAAGGAGUGUUGCUAUCCUAUUUCUAUAUGUAGAUAGAGUGUUGUUACCCUAUUUCUAUAUGUGGAUAGCUAGAAGAAAUGAUUGAACAAGUAAGCAAGCAAGGGAACAAACAAGCUUAGGCGAAAGAACUAGUAGUGGUUCUUUACUAAUUCCGUUAGAUUCAAUCCUUAAAGCUACUCUCGGGGUGCCGACAUUCUCUAUGUUAUUAGGGACCAGUCAAGUUCUAUGUCUCUGAUAUUCCAUGUACAAAAUGUUCUUUAGAGUUAGUAGUUAGGUUACAACUAUGUUAUUCUAGAAUAUGUCUCUGAUAUUCAAUGCACUAACUAUGAGAAUCUAGACAGUAUACGUCAAUAAUCAUUUCUCUAUAACAGUGCCCCGAUAUGCUCAUUUAGUGUUUCGUUCGGUGCUAGCUUGAAGGCAGGCUUUGCGUUCCGUUCUUGCUAGCUUUAAGGUGGGCUUUGCUUUCGUUCAGUACCAAUGGAAGGAGAGGAAUUAGUCAGUUCCACUACCUGCGGGACAAUCUGUUUACGACUUUGGACCACAACAAGGUUAUGAGGCCCAUAAUAAGAAAAAGGCUAGAAGUGUAGCCAAGCGUAUACUACAAAGGCAGAAAAGCAGACAGGAAGAAUGCACUACAGAGAAGAAUUAGCCAUAGGUAGAUGAGCAAGAGGCGAAAUGCAGAAGCAAGGGAAGAAGCUUGUAAAGAAGCAAGUGAACAUGCAACGACAGAAGAACAACCAGCCGAUCUUGCAAGGGUAUCAAUCAAGUCUCAGGUAUCUUAAAGGGAACAAACAACUAGUGAAACCAAAAAGCCAAGCUCUGUAUGUAUGUAUGUAUUUACAAAGUGUUUUACAACCAUGUGCUCGAACUCUGAACUAGCGUUAGGGAAGCUCGAAAGAUGAAAGAAAGAAAUGUUUUACUGAAGACAGCGUUGUUUAUGCUUGACGAACUGUUCCAAUUUCAAUGAUUUUAUGCGAUGCAAUAGAUUCAUAAGAGUAGCAAGCCGGUUCUAAGUGCUUUUUCUCAUUCCUCAGUUGUAUGCACAUCCGCUCAAUUCAUCUUUUCGUUUUCCCGAAGACUCAACUGUAACUGUCUUGACAGCGCUAAUAGUAGUUUCCAGAUAAAAAGCUGUGGGCCAAGCAACUCUCAAUAUGGUCUGAAACUAAUAAGAAUAAUGGAUACUAAAGAGAAGAGCCUGACGAAAUUAGGAACUUACAGAACUUAUCUUAUUAUAGGAUUACACUCGAACUUCACAAGCUCCAUUCUCACUUUAUGGGGAAUAUAUCUCUUCUGACCCUUCUAUUCUAGACAAUGUGCUCGAAAGAGAGUCGUAUGAUUGACACCUCGCAACAAAGCCGACCCAAACUAGAAGUGCAGAACCGUCUGCUGCUUUGCUUCCUUACGAACUGCCUCUCAUCCUCUUAAAACAGCGGAUUCUUUAACUUAACUGUCAACAAUCCCUUCCCUAUGCGUAGCACAACUCAUCCAUUUCAUAUCUACCUUCUCUCGCACCGUAUCUAAGAUUGGAUCCCGAAACAAUACUUUCAAACUCCACUGGACUAGACCCAACAUUAGCUUAAUCUUUCGAUAGCCUUGUUGAAGUUAAUACUGUCAUUUAUGAUUCAACGCUUGCAACCGAACCCCCAUCUUGAUCUUUCUUUCCCGCUUCGUCACCAACUAAUACUGAUGAAACUGGGAUGCAACUAUACCGGCUUGGCACAGCUUCCUAGCUCGCCUGUCGAACAUCUGCUUGGCCCCUUACUAGCUCCACUCACUAAUACAUAGCUCCAUUGCCAUGCUGCUACUUACUCGUUUCAUUCUUGCCCUUACUAGUUCUAUUCUAUCCCUCGCUAGCUGCGACUACUGAGGUGCAUUCUUAGCCCUAGCUAGCUCACCUCUGAGUUCAAUUAUUAGUCAUAUGAGUGCCCGAACACAGGACUUGUUUCUAACUUCCUAUAACACUUGAAAUGGUCACUUAGCCCUUCUCCCCUAUCUAAGAGCCUGUCACUAAUGCUUUUAAGCCUGUGCUUUAUUUCUUUCGUUCUAACUAUACUUACCUCAAGUCUUACUCUAUUCUCUGACUUAUGAGCCUACCAUUCCCAUGUGCAAGUGUGAGUCUCCCUUUAUCGACUAUCAAAUACUACCAUUGGAAUUCCACUACUAACACAAACUUCCACUACUAACUAUAGAGCGGAAACCCGCACACACAUCAACAAGGCUUUCACUUGAAGCUAAGGCUUUCCGGAUUGGCACUGCUGGAAACAAGGUUAUCACUGCAGCGUCUCACUCUUUAGCUCCACCAUGGAUCUUACUUCACUGACUAUUGAUCUAUCACUCUCCGAUUUCAUGCUUUUACUGCUGUUUUGGAUCCUGACUCAUGAGUUGAAGUCUCCUACUUGCUUAUUGCAUUCCUUACAGGCUACUCAACACUUUCUUUCUCUUGAUACAAGCAAUAUAUUAUGGGCAUUAAUGACUUCGAGCGCAUAAGAUCUGAUUGCCUCAACUCGACAUGAAGAACUCAAAUAAGAACCUAUUCCUUUAGAAUUACCAGGAAAAGAUUGAAGCGCAGAAGAGAAGAUUGCUUGUUCCGUUUGAAGCGCAGAAGAGAAGAUUGCUUGUUCCGUUUCGCUAACUUAUUAUUAUUAAGAGAUUAUUGAUGCUUUUGAUCUAUCAUCUAUCUCUUCUCUUGCUACCAAUGUUAGUGUAGGUGCGGAACCCAUCACUGCUUACUCUCCCUUCUACGACAACACAAGUAAAAGAAGGAGACUCCGGACAAUAUGGCAAUUCUCCACUCCCAGCAAGGUCUCGCUCUAAGACAAACAGAUGAAACAAAGGAUGAAACUAUAACUGCAGAAUAUCCCGAUCCAGAUCUUUUGGAUUACCCGCUUGAUGCUGACUUGAGAACAUAAACGACAAGCUACUACUUGCGCUAUGCGUUAUGAUCUGAUAGCCCCAAUAGAUGGUCUUUCAAGCUUGAGCCCGACUGCUUCAUUACUUACAUCGAUGGAUUUAACCCCUCGUGGAUCUAUUAGUAAAAGACAGUGUCUCACGCAGACAGUUUCCUUCAUAUUAGAUUGAGUUUACAAGUAGGAAGAAUCCUAUGAAAGAAGGGGUGUUUGAGUAUAUAUCACUUUUCUUUGAAUACGAGGAGUCACCCAAGUAAUGAUGGUGUAAUGGAUCUUAUCUUUCUAGCUUGGUGGGUUGGCUCUUUUCCUUGUUCAGAUACUUUCAAACUAACCUUACUUCGCGGGUGAAGGGCAGCCUUCUCGAUCUACAUUUCUAAUAGAAAGAAAGAAUCCAGAGAAUCCAUAUUGACCUACGGACAAGCAACCCAACAAGUCACUACUAAUAGGCAAGCUACUACCAAGUAAGAAAUACAGAAGUGAGCUACUGCCAAUAAGGAUGGAACUGGGAUGGAAGAAUAUAUGUUUGAAUCGAAACAAGUAAGUAAAAGAGGGAACUAGUGCCUAGCAAGCAAGUCAAAGAAGAAAACUCAGAAUUGCUAGCGGAUCAGGGGGUUAAGAAGUCAUCCCUAACAGCCGAAUCCAACUUGUAAGUGCUAUAAAAAGAACCGACCUCCAAAGUCAGAGUAAAGCGGUAGUGUCUAGAGUCAACAACUCGAAAUACAGAAUUGGACUCAAAACUAUAAGAUCGAGAAACUGGCUGGGACUGAAACCACCACUGGAAGGAAUUGCACUAGCCUCUCAGAGAGCCAACCUCGGUAUUAUUAGAAUAUAGGUACGCCGUAGCGCGUCCCCAGUCAGUCGAUCGAUAUAGGGUCAACAGUAAGAGACUUCCACUAACAAACACGGAACACAAAUAACAGAAUUAGAGAAAGGGGAUAAGUGCUUGGAAGCUAGUGAGUCAGGCCUGGACAUGUAUAGAUAUAGUAAGGCUUGGCUGGGGCCCCACUCCGCAAUUAUGAUUAGUUUUGAUUAGUAUUGACUUCAUUCUCAUGCUUACCACCAGAAGUCUUAUAGCGGACCUGGAUCAAACCCGAGAUUAGCACUAUUAUAUACUACCCACUUCAGUUGGAUUAUGACUUAAUAGUCCAAUUAUGCACCCGCGCCCACACAGAGAGAACUAGUCUUAUGGCUCGUUACGCUUUCUUUCAGCCGGCCGGUGUUCUAAAGUUCUAAUAGAAUCGAAUAGAAUGCCGGAGGAAGUGUGAAUGAAAAGGUUGCCAUCAUCCGACGGGGGAAGAAAGAAGCUAUUGUUUAAUACUCCAUAAGUUAUGUUAUAGAUAGAGAUAGAUUCCAUGUUGGACCAUGUUCUCUAUUGAUGAAGGAAGGCUUAGGGGCAAGAAAGAAAGGUGCUUCAAGCCUUGUUCAUUCACUGCAUUCACCUGCACCAGGGACAGAUACUUUCGCUUCCUGCUGUCGGAUCAAUGCCAUCCUAAUCUUUAUUUAGAGCAUUUCUUUCCCCGAUACCGAUAGUCAGAGUGAAGGUAAGGAAGUGAAGCCUACUGGAUCAGAUCCUACCUUCCCACUAAUCCAUAUUCUGUUAGCUAGGCACAGGCACACUACUAGCUCGCCUAUUCUUUCAAUAUCAGAGUCAGUGUCCCGCAAAGAGAUUGAAUAAAGAGGACCGUCCCGUUCAAGCUUUGAACCGAUGGAUCUACUUUCUGGAGUUAUAACAUUUGCAUUUCUCUGACAUUCCACGUUCCCGAAACGACUCUUAUUAGGACAGGGAAUUUUUGGCACCGUAGGCAUGACCAAUGGCACGCUGUGCGCCUAAGUGUCAAAAGACAGUGCAAGCCUUGUUCUUUAGAAACCUCAAUGUUCCGGCAGCAACACUUCCAAAUGCCACUUCUUCUCGUCUUCAGGACGAUCUAGUUACUGGUUGGAAUUUCUGGCUGUUGUCGACUCUGAACUGAGAACUCUGGUUGCGUUGCUUGUUGGCAGGAUUCCCGUUCGAGCAAGUGCAGGUCAUUGAGUGGCCUUAAUACUAAUACUUCGUCCCCCUGUCAAGGAAUAUUGACCCCUGACUUCUUUUAGUUACAAUGUCUUUGUAAAGUUCAAGUUCCGAGAAAUUCCUCCCCGGAUCAGGACUCGGCCGGCGUAACCAAGGAAUCGUGGAGCCAAUUCAUGUCCAGGCAAUUGAGCCGUUUGGAUAUAUACCUAAGUAAUAAUCUCUCAAUAAAUGGGAAGACAAAAAGAAUCAAAUCGAAUCGAAUAAUAAGAGGUUCGGGACGAAAGCAGUCAAAUAUCUUCUGACUCUGAGUGGAAACACAGAAGGAUAUCACUUUUCCCUUUAUGGUUUUACGGAGCCAUGGAUCCAUGCUAGCGGGAACUGCGUGCCGGGUUUUUCCAUAUUCUUUACUGAUAAAGUCACCUUGGAGCUUGAUUAGGGGCUAACUUUACAGAGUGCCGAGCAUUGUUCGUCGUGCUAGUUCCGAUACUCCAGUUCCAGUGGUAAACGAAACCUUCUCUCUCUUGCUUUCGGGCCUACGUCUCUCUUUCAAGGGUUCUACUUUCUUUGGUUGGUAGCUUUUGGCAAGGCAGUACUUUUACUCAGUGGAUCUUGCUCUAGCCGCUUUUUGCUUAAGGUGCUGAAAGCCUUUGACUUUCCGUGAAGUUUUUGUUCCAGGUAUACUUCUUAGUCAAUGGACUUCUAGUUUCAGUGAGGGGAUCCUUACUUUGACUUCUAGGUAAACCUAAGGAAAGAAGAGCUAUAAGUAAAGAUUGAAGUGGAGUUGCACCCAGAAGCAGAGAAGGAACCGAAUAAAUCCAGUGUAGUGGGGCUGGAGAUCUAGCAUUCGCAUAGACUUUUAGUGAUCAAAGAAAGUCAGUUCGUGGCGGUCCGGGGAAAGCGAAAACAAUGAAUAGAGACACAUACCAGCUUCCUUCCGAGAUGCAGACCAGCCCUUACUCUCUACUGAAGGGGCAAAUCCCAGGACGACAUCAAAAGAGCAGAGAAUGUCCCGGCAAAUACAAGCGUCUCAUAGUUCACAUUUGAUCGAUGAAAACCUGCUGCUUAAAGAGCUGCUUGCUACCCACUUUGUCAUUUGAUUAUAAGACAAUAGCCCAGCUGUGGCAUGCCCUGUUUAAAGCAGCUUAUCCUCUUCUGUCUUUCCGUCAUCUCAACCUCGCACCUAAGCAUCACGUUCCUAGGGACAGAGACAUCUGCGCUCUAAGGCUAUCAUAGUACUGCUGCCGGUUACAUCUAACUGCCUACUGGGCAAGCUAAAACAGCAAAGUAACCUGAUUUGGCACCAUCAAAAGGAAUAGGAGCAGCAGCUGGGGAACCACCAUAACCAUCCAUGAUAGUUAGAAUAGCAGCAGAAGUCUACGUAGGAGCAUGGACACUUGGAAAAGAUGAAAUCGAUCCUGCCUCUUGUAACAAAGAACUAGGCAAGCCGGGACCAUCCAUACCUCUAAGCCCGAGCCUGUGAACCAAGUCCCCGGAAAGCAAGGCAAGGAAGUGCUAGUACACAAGUACCCAGGAACUCUGGAAGCAAGAAAAGGAGGACUGCAUAGCCAGCUCAGUAAGAGCAGCCGGGUAAGUAAGAGCCUUUCGCCGGGUAAGUUUUCAAAAAGGUAUUUUGACAGGGGGAGUUGACUCAAAGGGAGUGUUCCCGCUACGAUAGACUAUGCUAACUCUGUAGAUGCAAACUCAGCGGACGAUACCCCCGAGCCCGGACUUCACCAGGGAAGGCUAAAGCUACAGUAAAUCAAUCCGCUGCCUUAGCAGACCCUGAUGACGAUCACUCUGAUGCUAAACCAGACAUUAGGCUAGAGUAGAAACAAACACUAACUUCUUCUUCUUUGUACGGAGUGAACACUACUAGACCCUUGGGGGAACUAACGUAGAAGCCGAGUCAAGUAAAGAAAACGAGUCCUAGGAAUGCCAGUGCCUGCAGAUCAACAUUACCAAUUGUUUGCUUCCUAAUGUGGAAAGCGCCUAACCCGCUUCAGCAGAGUUCAGUGAUCUCCGGGAGAGCGGAAUAGAUCCUAUGAGCUGUGAGUUACCUCGCUCGCCCAGGGGCACUUGUAGAAUAAAGAGAUAUCAACUCCACGAACAAAGUCAAAGCAGUGAAAGAUGAAGCUUCCAAAGCGUUUGAGAGAGGAUUCCAUUAAGGUAUCCAUAGUCGAUAGCCCUAGGCCGAGUUAUAAAGUAUUCCAGGAAGGGUAGUUAUACAGCUAAUACACCUAAUACUUACCUACUCACCCGAGGCUCUGCAAGACCAGCUCUUCCUUUCCUUUGAAAAGUACUUGCCUUAUUCGGAUGGCUCAGCGGGGCCCUAUCCUGGUCUGGUCCUCUUGUUCGCGAAGACCCUAACUCCAAACCUUAUGCUCUUCAAACAUAUCAUUCAUGACCUGCUCCUCAAGUAUAAAGUGAAGUCAGAGCGACUUUCUUAUCUUGGCUCUUCCUAUUGAACACUUUUCAGAAUACAAAGUUAAUCCCUUAUGCGAACACUCAGACUUUCUUGCUCAGCGGAAUCCAGUUCAAUCUACUCCUUUAGGCGGGAUAUCCACUAUUCCUGUUUUAGCCCCCGGAACUGCCUAUCAAGUUCCCUUCGCUGGUGUCGUAGCAAACCAUAUCCGUUGGAUGAUAGACCGGCUCCCUCGGUAAGCCUGCCAUAUGAUAGGAAAUUGUGCUCAUUCUUAUCCUCCGCAAAGAAAGAAAGAAGGGAUAGUAAGACUGUGAGUCAGCAGUGGGCUCUAGAAAGUAAUAAGUAAGAUUGGCUACCUGACGAGUAAGGCUCGGCUGCUUCCCAGUUAUUCUACAAUUGGUUUCUUAUCCCUUCCCCAUAUGUGUUAGAUCGUAAAGCCCGAGGUCUAUUCUUGAGGGUAGUUAUAUCAAUCCCCCAUCAGCUGUUAGAGAAAGAAAGUAAACAUCGACGAGAUCCAAAGCAAGGAUCAGGUCAGGUGAUUUGUUCCAGAUUCCAGUCUGGUUUCAGUUACAGCAGUGGAAUCACGACCAGAAAGGGUACGUUCGGAUGGAAUCUUAUAGAUCAGAGUUCUUGGCUAUAAGUCUGUAGAGACAGGUUAUUGUGUUGAAGCAAAAGAAAAAGAGUAAUGAACAGUUCCUGUUUCAUCGUUUUCAGAAUCAUAGGUUAAGCAGUGCCCAGAUGAAGCAUAAAGCGAACGAAGCGGUUCUUCAAGUCGAGGUCAAUCAGUAUACGGGUGCGGGUACCGAUAUAUUCAGUAGGAGUUCGGAGGGACUCUAUUAUAGAGAGAGCAGAAUGCAACUCAAUUCAUAAGACGAAUAAGGGUAGCUUCAAACUUGCCCCACUUUUGUAGUUAAUGCUAUAUGGGUUAUGUAAAAAGAAAGCAGUAAGUCUGGGUUUUGAACCCCUCAAAAAAGGACUUGCUUCCGAAGCGAGGUUAAGUAGAGAAAGUUUCGAUGCCACUUAAUCAUUUCGGUUCUGUUCUGCUAAGUUGAGUUCUUGUCGGGGAAUCCUGAAAGUACUCUGGUGUGCGAACAGGAGUUAUUUAAAUGAAAUAAGCUUGUGACAGUAGGAAGUAGGCUUGUUUACUAGAGAAUCUAUACUCGAGCAAUUCAAAGAGCUAACUACUAAAAUCAGGCUUGAACUACACUAGCUCGCUGACGCUACACUCUUGGGGGUAUGAUUCAUUCCACAGAGACGAAGUCUUUUCGAUAGUAGAUAAACUCUCUUAUUGGUGGAUUGGUUCAAUUAUUCCUAUCGGUCUUAAUGGUCUCGUAGCAUGGUCUUGUAUUGUAGACCAGUAUUCUGACUUGCAUUAUGCCUUCUUUGCUGUAGGCUUCUACUCCUUUGUCUUAGUCUGCCUUUCCCACCCAUUAUUACUAGACCUUUGAUUAUGAUUUGACUAUACCUUUGAUUCUUAUUUGUUAUAAUAAAAGCUGGAUCUUUCCUCUACAUUUCCUAUAGGCGUCACACAUAGGUUAUACUAUACCAUAAUGGAAUUCAGAUUUGUCAUAUAGAAACUAGAUCUUUCCGCCACGUAUACAUGCGUUAACACACAGGAUAUAUUACUCGAAUAGAAAGACAGACGAACAAAGGAAUUGUUCGUCCACCUGUUUUCGUUCCUUUCCCCUUAGCCACAGUAGAGCGGGGUUCCGAUUCCGUAGUUCAGAUCUGAUUGAUAUUAGUUCGAUCCUAUAAGUGCUAAUCCGUGUAAUGAGAUUUGGACCGCGCCCUCCACAACUUAAGUAUUACUGAAACAACAACUGUUUUCAGUCUUAUGCUCCGGUUUCUCAUUCCCCCUUUACUGCUUUCAAUUCUACCCUUUCAUCUGUCACUAUGCUUUCAACUGUAUCCGAUUUGGUCGACUUAGCGCUUGCUAUCAUGGGUUAGUGGGCUGUCAAACCCUUAUUUUGAAUAGUGUAACAUGAGGUCAACUCUUCUUAUCUUAUCCAAAUCUCCUCUCUUUUACCCCUUAAGGCUAUUGAAAUGCGUAUCUUAUUAGUAACAUGGACCUCCUAUUGCUUUAUAAUAGAGAUCAACGUUGUUUGCUUGCUUCAUAUUAAUACUAAACUCAGUAAGCUGAUGAACACAGGAAACUCCCAGGGCGCCAACAACGCAAGAACCGAAAACAACAAAUCAAGAUGAAAGUAGAAGUUUUCAAGUCUGUAAAGGAAUACUCAAACUAGAGCAUAGGUAUUGAUGGAACAAGUACAGGAAUGCCAGAGCAGUCAGCAAGAAAGCAAUACAUGUGUGAUCCUACUAUACUCAAACAGGAACAUAGCAUUUAAGGCAGUAGCAGUAGACUUCAAGCAAAGAGUUUCGGACUGUAAAGAAAGUAUUAUAAGGCUGUUUUUUAUGCCUGUUGUCUUCGGCUUAUUUAGUAGUACUUGUUGGUACCUGAAUGAUGGAUUUUGCCAUGAGCAACCUUGACCAUAGGUUAAAUGACGAUAAAGAGGCUAGGCUGUACACGAGACAAACACUCCUGCAUUGAAUACUUGAUGGAGCAGCUAAUUAUGAAUCAUAUAGAUUUUUGGAUUAGGGAGAGAGAAUUUCUUAGGGGAGCACGGGACACGAGAUUGGCCUGCGCACAAAUCAAUUUGGAUGCAUUAACUAGAGCGAAUAGAAUCUUGUAUUCAAACUGUUCAUUUAGCACUUUGAUCGCAGAGAGAUAACAACCAAACAAUCCACGUUGGUGAAAGCGAUGCGAUACGACUGAACUUUCCUUCUUUGGGGAAUGAGCUCUCACUGUCUCUUGAGAAAGGAUAAUGUUAACGUUUCAUUUGGCCUUUCAGAAAUGGUCUUACUGCUGCUAUUCAGAGAAUCGAGCUAUGAAGACCUUGAACCGAGCUUAGAAUGCACACUCGUAGCCUAUAAUUUACACUCACCUUAGACCUGUGAAACUCCAAUUUGUGAACUUUAGUGAUUUCUUAAGAGCAAUGAAAACUCACUCUUUGACUCUUUAUUACCUACUCAUGAAGAUACCUCCUUUCGAGCAUAGAUACCUUCUCUCGGACAAACUGAGGGUAAUGUAAAGCACUGGUGAGCGACAGGGCGAGCGAUGAGAAGCUGGUGAGUCAUUAGUUACUGCUUAGAAACUUCAGAUUCAGAUCUUCUGCCAUAGUAGCUUCAAGUGAUUGGGUAUAUACAUUUGAGUGAAGGUGCGAGUCAACUCAACCAGGAAAAGGAAAUACUUCUAAGUUGAAGAAUCAAGUGCUUUUGAAUAGGAAUAGGAAUAUAGCAAGUACGCAGCAAGCGGGGAAGAAAGGGAAUAGACAACACUAGCACCCUCAACUUAUUAUAGAGGCCUCUCCUUGAAGUUAAGCUGCCCUCUUCUCUGACUUUAGGAACCAACUUCACCCCUCUCUAUAUGAUGAAACAAGAGAAAACAGUAAACGCUGAAACAGGAAUCCUUCUUUCCAGAUGAUGUCAUAUAAUCAUAGAAUUGGGAAGAGCCCUUUUAGAUUAGAGCCGGCAGUCCACAAAUCAUUUAUGUCAUCAAGCAGCUCAUCUAGCAGAAGUUGACACUCCGUAAGCGCUUUAGUCACUCACUGAUCAUUGAUUAUAGUGCGCAGAUACGAAAAAAGGAAAAUAAGGACUUUCACUUGCAAGCGCAGAAGAUAAGAUUGCUUGUUAUGAUGCUGAUGCCUUAGAAGACCCUCCCGUUUGCUGCUUAAGUAAAGACUGAACCGCAACACUCGAAACUGCUUGCUACAGGUGCUAAGAGGUCUUACCAAUCAGAUCACUGCAAGGUACUUCAGAAGCAAGCUCAUAACAUAAUAAGUAAAUAAAGGCAAGAAGUGUUGUUACCAGCAACAGAAGGUAAAGGCGGAAGAAACCACCAAGCAACGACUCGUGGAAUUACUAUAAGAAAAUAGAAUACUUAAUAAAAGAAAGCAAGUAAACUGCAAGCGGUUUUGAACUUCCAGUUUCGUCUCUUGACUUUGGGUACGAAGUUUAGGUGUAGCCAGUUUUCAUCGUAGUAGAGAUCAGAGCUCUUUAACAAUGCCCAAGUAAUAGAGCGGUCUCUUAUGGUAGUAGUGAGUCGGCCUAUGAUUCUUGUUUUGUCUUGUCCUGCUGUAGCAAGUAGGAAUGGAAUUCAAUCCGUGUCGAGUGUCGGGGAAUCAUAUCUUACUGGCUUUAAUGCGAGGUGUGGUCCAACAGAAGAAUCCAUUUAUGUUUUCUCGUAUAAGGAAUGCUCAUCUGCUGCAGUGAGUGAGGGUUAUGCUCAGAACAUGCCCUUUCUCUUUAUGUCCACACAUAUUAUUACUAGUUGUGGGAUGUGCUCCUUCCAACCAACUCUGUACUCCCUCUCUUCAGCCUAGCACCCUUUCCAAUAGAUAAAGAGUAGAAGAGUAGACCAGAGAAUGGCCUGUUCCAAUUUCAUCCCAAGUUGCAGGAUAAGGUACUUGCUUUGAAGCGCUAAGUUCAGAAGUUGUAUCUGGGUCCGAUCCGAGGAAAGCCUACUUGGUUCCCUUUCUUUGUUUGUUCCUUUGCUUGUCGAGUGAGCUGGACUUUCCACUGUUACGCCUCUCUAGCAUCGUUUCUAAGCAAAGUUCUUUAUGUUCUUCCCUGAAUCCUGACUUUCGCCCUUCAACUUAUACGAAUAAACGAAUACUAGAUCCAGAGACCCUUGCCUUUACUUACGCCUAUCGCAAAAUCCUAUUAUUAUAUCCUAUUAUGAUUACCGAGAUGAGAUUGGACUCUGCUCUGGGUCUACUUUCCUAGCACAGCUUCCUCACUUUUGCCUGUUGCUAAUACGUCUUUCCCGCCUUACCUUCUUCAGCGCAUAUUCCUGAAGUGCAGAGUCAACUAAUACGUUUUUCAAGUCUUGUUCGGUGUGUUGAUCAGUGGAGUCUCUUUGGCUUGCACCUGUAGCUCGCAGGUUUGAGUGUGCCGCCCGCUAAGUACUUUAGUAUAGUUCAAGAGGAGAAAGAAGCCCUUUAGUUGAUAACGAGUAUUAAUAACUCAGAUAGGCAUAAUGGAAUUUAGUGCAAAAGAAGAAAAUGUCACACUUACAUAGAUUGACUUAUAACAUAGGAUAGGAGAAUACCAUGAAAUUAAUAUACUAAACGAAAACAAACGUUAGCGAGUUAUAUCAUUGGCUAUCCACAACCUAUGUAUUCUUCCGAAACACCAAUAAAGGUGCUCACGUGUGCUUGUUCCGUUACUUCUUGAUUUGAGUAUUUGUGUGCUUGUUCUCUGACUUCUUCUUUCGAUCUACUACUUGUGUGCGCAGUUCCCUUGCUUGUUGCAGUUGAGUUUCAUUGGAUUUUAUUGCUUGCUGCGUCUUGCGCCGCUCAACAGUAGGGCGAUACUGGCCUGUAAUCAAAGAAGAGAAUCUCACUGACACCUGACUCUAAGCGUAAACAACACUGUUGACUGCAGGCUCUAUUCUUUGCUCUGCUCCUGCUCCACCGAAGUCUUGGGAAUAAUCUGAUUAGUUAGCAUUCACUUAUAGAUAGAAAGAAUAAAGAAAGUCAACAACCAGCAAAACUCAUAUCAUAGGCGUACCCCGCAACGAUAAGCAUUAGCAUCCAAAAACUCAAAUAAGUGUUAACCCCACAACUAACUCUAAACUCACGCAACUCCUAACGCGGAAGAAGGAAUUGAGGCACGCACAGAACUCUCCAGAGCUUCCGGAAACAGGGCUUAAUCCAGAAUUCAUUGCAUAAUGUGCUUUGGCUGCUACUUACUAUUUCGAUUCAUAAAGUAGAGUUCGGGAUGCUACUAUUUAAGUAAGAGUAAGGUAAGCAGUGCCGAAGUCAGCAACCAGUGAGAAAGGUGACGUUCGGGAUGCGCUAACGAGAGUGCUCUAGCAAGCCAAGUGAAGAGCCGAGCUGCUAUCUUUCUAAGCGUCAAUGCGGACUUGUUGCGCCGAGGAAAAGAUUCAUUGAGGAGCGGACUUCUGCUAUAUAUCUUUGCAAUGCACCUACACCUAGAAACUAUCCUUCGAUUUCUUAUCAAGCUUAUAAUAAGGAUUUGGCUUCAGAUCCAGAUCUCUAAGAUGAAACUAGAACGUCACUUUCAACAGCUUAUGAUCUCAUCGACAAGGAGGCGAGGCGGGACAAUCAUACUAUUAACUUACCGACACAAGAACUAAACCAAUAACUCGCUAACAGAAGCUCACUCAAUUCUUUUCUUUCUGCCUUCCUAGGGUAGGGGUCACAUAUAUCGAGUCUAGUAUCAACAAUAAAGGGCUUGAGAACUUAUAGCACUUUGGCGCCAGUAUCCAGUAUAAUGCUACUAAGCGUUGCGUCGGACCUACUACUGCUCCCAUACCUACUAUAUUGAUUGCUCGUAUCAAGUCUUGUAUCUGGUUGUUCCACUCAACCCCGGGCAACUCACUAACGCCCAAACAACGGACUCCAUAAAGCCACCGGACUAACGCACCGAUGAACGAUGAACAUUUUGAGUAGUUGUGCUCUUUCUGGUAAUAACUCGUUAUAUAACUUAUGGAGAUCAGUAUCCGGGUUCGGGUCUCAAAGUGCCUUUGAGUCGAGGUCGGGGCAAAAGAGAUGCCAAGCCGGUAAGGUCAGAUUCAUAAGAAAGAUCUUCCAAUGAUGAACUUAUUGAAGACAACUAAAGGCUGUGAAAAAGCAUUGGAGCCAAUAAUGGGAUUUGUUCCCUAGUGCUAACGUGAGUUCAAAACUAGAGUUUUUACAUGAGUGAGUUCUUUGAUGAGUUACCGAAUAUCAUUAUUUAGGUGGAGGUACCCAUGGCUUAGCUUAAGAGUCAGCAUCAGCAGUAAAAGUAAUAGGUAGAGCAGAAAAAGGUCUUUCGAAAGCAAAGAAAAGGAAAGGAAAGGAUUGGAUUGGUGCCCUUAAUUAAUGCCGGCAGUAGCGAAAAAACACUUAGGGCAUCAAAACGAGUACUGGAUUAUCCCGCAUCUGGUGUCCAUCUGAUACUUAUGAUUCUCCCGCAGCAGAUCCCAAUCUUUCAACGGAUUCUUCUCCUUCUGGGCAUUCUCUUCUCUUGUUCCCGCUUCUGAUAUGGUUCCUACUCAUACUAUUUCUUUAACAUCUUCUCUUGGCGGUUCCGAGCUGAACUCAUUAGUUGUGUGUUCAAUUCUGACUUUCUCGUGAAGGUCAAGGCGUUAAACAAGAAAGAUGACUGUCCUGCGCUUGUUAGAGGAGAUAAAGGAUCUUCAUAGCAAACAAGUUCAAUGACGGUUUUCGGGGUAUAGAAUUGGUUGGUGAAGGUGUAAGGUCAUAUUCCUAGUCCUGAGUUAUUGUUAGUGGAGAGAAAAGAUCUGUGGCUUCUUAUCUUAAUCCGGAUUAUUAUCCUUAUCCCGCUUACUUUAUAUGAUCUAUUUGGACUUGAUAUGAUAUAUAGAUAUAUAACCGACGUCUCUACUGAAACAAUCGAAGGAACUCCAUUGCGAGUACACUGCGCCGCGCACCCUGAUUAUGAGUUGUUGGCUUGAACGAGAAAGAGCUGGAUUCCUAUUACUUAUUCCAGAUUCCUUCCCAAUGAAGAUAAGGCAGUGCUUGAAAAAGGACUCCAAGGCUAAUAUUGCGGAGAAGGUAACAAAAGUAGAAGAUGAUCCAUUCGAUCUGCGAAUAAUCUGUUUUGGAAGGCAUUCUUGUGAAGACACUUUUGGACUGGCUUCUGCGGGAGAGAGUGUAAUAUAUAGCUCUGGGGACUCGGAAUCGGAUUCUCUGUUCAGGUCCGUCCACUCAAUAGAAUAGGUCGACCCGAGCGCUUAUGGCUUUUGAUUCUUAAAGAUAGCGCCCCCUAUAACGAAUCCUGUCCCCGCCUAAUCACUCAUAAACGGUUGGUUUUAUGCUUGACUUUCCCUCUCUCCCGCCCAAAAGAAUAGUAUAGCGAGAGUUUAGAGAGGAAGCAUUCCGUGUGGAAGGGGACUCCCGAGCUGUGAGGAGAAUCCUUCCUCUUUGCUUAAGUGCCUGUUUAUCGAUAUUGUUGGCAUCCAAUUGUAAUUACAUCUCCAUGGGGAAGAUCAAGUAGGGGGGCACUCUGAAUUCUUCCUUCUUUUAUUCCCAGAAAGAAAUCAUUUCCAAUAAAGGCUUUAUCAGGAAUAAGAAGAAAGUCAUCUUGGCCUGGUACCAUAGGAAUCACACAUGAUGGGGACAUAGCAAAAGAUUAUAAGUAGGGACUGGAAGAUGAUGCGGUGGUUCAAACCAAAACCCGGGACAAAAAAGGGGAAUGAAGGAAUGCCUGCCGACGUUCUGACUCUUUGAGACUGACUUCGAUUCCACUAUCCCGAGCUUUUGAUCCUAUCCUAAAAGAAAAAAGCACUAUGGAUUUUUCGACAGAGCGCAGAGAAAAAGAAGUGAGAAAGCCGUAUGAUAGAUAGGUAGUAACCAUCCUUAUUUGAUCAAGCGGACUCCUAAGAAGAGAAGGGAAAAAGCCUCCUUAUACUUAGAAUCAAUGAAUUGGAGGGUAAGCAGUGAGUGAUAGAUUAAUAUCAUAGGGAAGCAGUGUGUUAUAGUUUCAUAUUAGGGUAAGCAGUGAGUUGAGAUUCCCCUGCGGAGUCCGUUUCGUUCUUAAACAGGUCCGAAGAUCAGACAGAGGUUAUGAGACUUGUUCAUGAACCUUCUUGCAUAGGUAUGGAACGAUUUAUGCGUCCUAAGAAGCAGAACGGGAUAUAAUGAACAUUGGAAUUCCCAAUAUGCCUGGAAGCUUUCUCCUAAUGGCUUAUAGGGCGGGCGAAUGGAUAGGCUUACCGGCGUACUUAAGCUAGAUGGCUCACCAACACAUAUAAACAACUGAUUCUUUCCCAGCCAGCACACUUUCCGUAUAUGAAUUGUCUGAUUAUUCACUCUUCUAUUUGAUUGAUAUUGAUUUCUAUAUUUACCUGAACCACCUAUUAUUCGGAAGAACGUAUCCAGUACCAGAGGUUCGAGGACCCGACCCUUAUAUAGGCACUAAAAUAAUAGAGCUAUGAUUGAGCCCGAUACUAAAGGAAGAAGCACGCACCCUGUUUUCUAUACUCUUGAUUGAUUCUUUCCUUCUUAUUUAGUUAGGUUCCUUAUUGUUAUGUCAUAUUAGAUCAUUGGCGCACCACAUCUCUUCUGAUAAUUAGAGUAUGGUUGCUGACCUUCAUCAAAUACAUUAUGUGUGUCCUUCUAUACUAGACCUCUUUCCUUCCCUUGUAGUGGACCUCACACCAUAGGCACAGUUAUUUCAUUUAGGAUAGGAUUCCCUUCCCGCUUGCAGGACUAAGACACACGAUCACGAACUGGAUGGCUUAGGUUCCAAAGAGGAUUGAUUGGAUUCUCUUCCACAACUAUCUCAAUCAACGGGAGAGGGACGAAGCAGCUCGGAGGAAAAGAGCCUAUUCGGAGCAGACCUAUUCGUAGGCCUUUCCCUUGUUUCAAGAGCUUUCAUAGCAUACACAUAUAAGAUAUAGGCACCCGCAUCUAAACGUACGGAAAUUAGAGACUGACCCCAGUACUAAAGCAAUAGGCACUUACCUCCAUCGUUUAUCUUAAUUCUUAUUGACGUCCCCGACCGUCUAGAUGUGAAAUAGUUCGUGCAUGGAAUAGAAGUCAAGAGGAGUACCCGUAUACCAACAACAUUGAAUACAUUAUGUCGGCACCCUAACCUUUAUUUGCCUUAGUAGUUACUUGAUUGAUUAUUUGCUUUCCCGACCUUCCCGAUACCUUUAUUUAUACUAUUUCUUUAUUUAUACUAUUUCUUCUUUGCCUUCCCGAUACCCUUCCUUCUUUAUACUAUUUCUUCUAUCUCUUCCCGCUUACCCUCUCUAGAUUAUGGAUUAUUUAUCUUCUCCUCCCGCUUACCUUCUCUAGACUAUGGAUUAUUGACUAAUAGAGUUUGUAGUGUGCAAUAGCAAUAGGAAGGAUGCGAGACAGGUUUAUUUAGCUGAACCCGACCGACGCCUUUCUUGAAUCUAAUAGGUGUACCGUGAUGGAAGUAAAGCAGAGAUUUCCGACUCAAUCGGAAGGAAACACUAGACCAACUAUAAACCAACGGAGAACCUACACUAAACUAAAAGAAAGCUCAAAUUACCAACAUCCAAAGGAAGGCCUUGAAAUCGUUAGAACAGAAGGAGCGCACGCCAGAAAGCAAUUGAGUUCUCCGUUCACAAGAGCCCGGAUAGCCGCCAUCGCUGCCGACGCGGUUCAGUCUUCAUUCGAGCGCAAGGCAGUUUGUUUUCUUCCCUCAGCUCAGUCAUCAGUGCCAAUAGUCGGAAAAUAGUGAGAGUUCUUUCUAAAGGGUUAUGUUUAUAUGACAGAUUCGAAUCUUUUAAGACGACAGGAAAUAAAUGAGAUAUGGAGUUUAGCAGUAAGUGAUUGAGUUAGACUUUCGUAAGAGAAAAAGAAUCAUAUUGAAUUCCUCUUCAAAGGGAGUCCCCUAUAAAAGCUAUUUGAUUUGGAGUUAUAGAGGAAUCGAUCGUGUAUUGCAUAAUGAGAAAGCCGCUACUUUUCUUACGGAGAACUACUCUAUCUAAUUGCUUUAGUUUACCGAUGUCUUAGGCGGAAUAGUAUGCAUAUUCUAGUAUACAUAUUCUAGUAUUCGUAUUCUAGUAUGAAUAUUCUAGCUUCUUCAGGCAAGCCCAAUUGAACUCAGAAAGAAAAGAAAGAGGACAAGUAAAGCAAGGCUCGGGGGUAAUAAAGUCAGUCUCUCAGGUCCGUCUCUAACUCGAACUUCAGAAUUCUAUUAAGAAAGUAUAAUCCCUAGGGUGGCAAGGUAGACUUCCAGUAAGGGAUUUCAGAAGGAGAUACAACAAAGCCAGGUCCAGUGAAAGUCCAGUUCCAGUCAUAAAGUAGGGUGUGUUGGCGAAAGGCAGCCAAAGCAGUGUAGAGAAUACCGGUUGACUCUCGAAAUAUAGUUAGAUUAACAAGUAGUAGCUUGGCGAAAAGAGAGCUGGUGCCCGGUUCCUCGGAGCUUCUGAACAGCCAUAAACCGUUCGCUAUCCGCUUGUCUGAGCAAGGCGUUGAGCAUGAAUGAGGGAGACCACGAGACGCUUUCCGUCUUUGUCCCUAGAAGAAAAAAUAGAUCCCAAUUGGUACAGGUAAGGUAGUCUCACGGCAAGGCUCCCAGGAAGAGAAAGUUAAGACAAAGAGACUAGGAACAUAGAUAAUAGUAGAUUCUUGGAGACUUGUAAGAUAGAUAAGAGUUGAUUCUUGGGUCGUAUUCUGAUGGCAUGUAUAUCGCCAUAGGAGUACUCUGAGUGUGGUAGUGACUAUCUAUCCCUUUUCAUAGCAGGCCUCAUCAGCCCGACGAGAAGGAUAGAGAUACUCGGAGAUUAUAACGAAUCGUCGGGAAUAAGAAUCCAUUAGAGCUGCUUCACGUUGAAAGAUCUGCCUUUGGAGUUACUCCCGAGGCUCGGGAAGUUCGGAUGUAUAAACCUUUUGUACUGCGUUCACGAUCAGGGAAGAUCAAUUCCUUUGAAUCCUAGUUGUACUUCCUCGUUGUAGAAGGCAUAACCACUAGAGCUCGGGAGCUGGGAUAUCCGCGGGUCAAUGUAUAGACGCUCUCACCAAUGGAAUAAAAGAGAAGAUAAUAGAUCAAAUUGUUGAUAUUAUAUAGGUGGAAUCCUACCCCUGGUGAGGUCGAAAAGGAUGAGCAUGGCAGCUCGAAAGGAGUGUAGCGGAUUAAGCACAAGCCCAUAAUAUCCUUUCCUUUCCCGGAAGACACUGUUUCUUGGAAUCUCGCUAGGCCCAGAGUGGAAGGAGGACGACAACCAAAGUAGAGGUGAGCUAGGAGAAGAGGACCUAAUGGAAAUUCAUAUCUUUUUGGAUGACUACUUCCUUGUGGACUCUUGGAAGUUUUGUUAGGGGCUGCAUAGAUUGAAGCCUAUUCAAAUUAACUUCGAGCUCCUCUUACUGAGCAGGAAAUCCAAUAUGCUUUGCUUCUGGACUUUAUGGGUCUAGAGUGGAAUUCUUCAAAGAGAUAGGCGGAUUGCUGUCUUGCAGUUAUUCCAGACAGUGUGCUUGAUGAAAGCAAUGCGAAUCAAUUCAUUUUGGAAACUUCGGGACUCGAAUCUUUUCUUGUACAGUGAAAGCAAUCGAACUGCCAUCAGAUUAGAUUACCCGCGGGGGGAUCCAAUUCUAUGCGAGCACUGGCGUAUAGCAGCAAGUUAGGCCUGAUAGAUAGAUAGACCUUGCUCCGUUAAUGUCUUGGGUUAAGUAAGAAGGUGGCUCCAUACUGGGAUAAGGGGUCUGAAGUGGUACUGAAAUCAACCUGGAAGCGCAAUUCCGUUGGUGGAUUUAGCGCAACGUUAACUUGCCGCCCUUCUCUUUCGAGGUUCCCGGUUUUCUCGUUAAUUACAUAUACCAUAGGAUAAGACAUUUGAUUCUAAGAUCUGUGUUUACAUUUUGAAGCAGAAGAAUAGGGAAUAAGAUGCCGGCUUUCUAUUGUCUGUCUUUAUUGAGAGUUGUGUGACUAUAAGGUUGUAGCUUCCUCGAAGGCCCGACUGCUCCACUUUCAUAGUUAGGUUAGAGCGCGGUAAGCCUAGAAGUUCCUAGUAGGAGUGCUCUGUCUUAUAGUAGCAGGUCGUGCAACAGAGACAAUGAAUAUUCUAAUGAAAAGCGAUCCAUCUCUGCCCGAGGGAAUUAGAAUAGCUCGAAGCAGACCUGUCUUUCCUUCUUCCGAAAGUCGGUAGAAGUGCCAGCUAAGCCAAUAAAGGGGUAACCGUGUAAUAAGUGGAGUUAUCGCCAGUGCAGGCCCCUAUAUAUAUAUUAUAUAAAAGAAAGAUCUAGAUUGCAAGUAAGAGAUCACCCUCCUUUUUCUACCCCCUCCAGACAUAUAGGCUCUCAGCUCCUUUCUUUAUUGAGGACACACUAUUCUUCUAUUUUUUGAUAUAAGCCCGGUGAGCAACAGUAGUUUCCAGUAGUACUUCAUUUUCUAGUCAAGUAGCGAGUGUUGGUGCUUACGCUCUAAGUCUGCAAGGUCAGAAAGGUGGCUAGCUCUAAGUCUGCCUAAAUGAGCUGUCUUAGAGUCUCCUUCAGUUCGCGCCUUCGUGAUUCAGAUGUUUCUGCUGCUGACAUGCAACCCAUUGAAGAGGGCGAAGAGCUUGAACCAGAUAACAACAAUCUUCUCUAACAACCUCUGUCUUUAGUCAUUGGAAAAUAGCCUUCGGUUAACACAGCCCCUACGGUAGCUCUGCCUCACGGGGACAGCAGGAAGAGGAAAAGGUUGGCAUAAAUCUUAUUGAUAAUCAAGACUCCCUACGGAUUAUGCACUGGCCGGCCCGGAAUCCAAUGAACCGAAUCGAAUGUUAACCUAUUUCUGAAGUGUAAGAGAUAAGUUCUAGCUUUUUCCUUAGAAGGAAGGUCAAAAGCCUCUGAAUUCCAAUGAUCAUGAUGAAGAAUCAAACCGACCCAAAAUCAUCUAUAAGAGAGAUCAAUUCGAGGAGCCUCCGAACAAGGCAAACUAAUGGCAGCACCUGAAAACUAAUGGCAGCACCUGGGUAAGAAGCGGCUACUAGGGCACAAUCUCCACUUUUGGCGAGAUUUCCACAAUAGCAUUUGGAAUGCAAGGGGCGUCAGCAAUGGCCCCACGCGUAGGCGACGAUCUUGCUCGGGCUUUCGUCUUCAUCCUAUCCUAUAGGCUUGAGUCUUAAUCCUAGAACCCGGCCAACUAUGUAUCAAGAGGCGGAGAUGGAUUUUCGUCGAACAUCUCGCUCGGAUGAAUCCCCUGCCAUGGUAUAAAAAGAAGCUAAGCUAUGGAUACCAUGACCGAUCACCAUCGAUAUCAACAGGAACGUAUCCAUCACAGUUUUCUAGUGAAUAAGCUUGCCAGCAUCUGACAUAGUUAAGCUGUUCCACUCUCUAUAAUUAGAUCAGGUCGCCUUGUCGAGAUCCAAUUGAUCUACAUUCUCCUGCGCUCUAUUAUCACAUGCACCAGAAUUCUCUAAGAUAGCUUGUUUCUCUUCCCUCUAAGAUAGCUUGUUUCUCUUCCUCAGGCACGGGCACUAGCUUUCACCUUCGAAUUGGAUACCUAAGUCACCAGCCAUCUCGCCAUUAUCUAAUUCUUCUAAGGAAUCUUAUGGGCUUGUUCCUCAUUCGUAGCAGCAUUAACUCGUUGCACUCAUCCAGACUAGGCCGAAAACCUCCCCAUCCCACACAGCUCUGGAUUUAGUGUUUCGUGGCUCAGCUGCUUUCGAAGUCUAACCUUGGCCUGAAACUCUGGGUUAUCCUUGGCUCAAUUAGGGUGAAUAGUAUAAUCAUGCAAAGGUUCUUUGCUAGAACAGGUUUGUCUUUGCAUGAAUCUAGGCUGUGGCCUCUCAGACGAAAGAAGGAUUGAGAUCGGUACUAGUAAAUGAUUCGUUGCCAGCGCCCUUUCCCAUCCCCAGCCAAAUACGAUUGGGCAUCUCCUUCAAUAGAUCAACCAAUACGCAUACUCUAGCAAUGGUUGUAGAUCCGCUUGAAUGUGCAAGACCUAAACUCAUGGGCUGAUAACUUUCUCACUUCCGUAGGUAUUCGAUUUAUUUGAUUUCGAGCUAGCCCGCCAGCUUACAAAAGAGGGCGCUAUUUCACAGUGGUAGGGGAAGUCGUCCCGAAGCGCAACUCUUGUUCUUUCUCUUCCGCGGCCAAAGCAAUAACAAGCCUAAGCUAGUCCAAGCAAUUCUGCAGUCACUUUCACUUGCUACUUCGGAGGACUAAGGGAUCUCCAGACUUACACAGCCGGAAAGGGUCAACAACAAAGUGGAGUAAAAGAUUGGUAGGGAUCCAUAACUGACUACUCGCUUACCAGGGGGACUGCUUCCCAUAAACGCUUAUCCCUUACAGACGACUCUCCUUUGCGCUCCGAAAUAGAGGCCGAAUAAGAAAAAAAAGAAGGAGGUUAGUUUUGAUUCGUCGAGGCAUCUGCUCCCUGCCACUAACCUUGGAAGCAUCCGGGGGGAUAUCGCUCAGUUGGUAUAGUUCUGCUCUUUCAAUUGGUUCGUAGCGGUAAGAAAAUCCAUCCUGGACUAAGCAAGGAGGCCAACAAGUAGGUGUUUUCGGCAUCUCCGCUGAUGGUUCUAGGAAAAUCAUGGAAUAAGGUAUGCACUUCGUUCAGUCGGUAUCAUACUAUAUCCCUUGCCCGAGAAAUUCACUACGUUCCCGAUGGCCUACCAUUAGUAGUCUAUAGGUUCUAUAGGUAUCUGGUAUUCGGUAUUGAAGAAAUGCUUCACUUCGUUCGGUCACUUCAGAAGUCAUAUUCCAUAAGAAAUUGAUAUUGAUCCUUGACUUUGUUUACAUUCAGUAGAAGCUUUACGGUGUCCCUUCUGGUCAGGAACUCAGGCAAUAGGCAGCUACACUCAUUGAACUAAAUAACACUACUCUCAUCCCUCUCCCGAGGUAGCUACGAGAUGUAUUCGUGCUUCUUAAGUCGAUGUUGACCUGUAUAUAAGUAAGAUGUUGGAAGGGGAAGCUCCCCAACAUAUUGAAACUCUUUAAGUCAAGUAAGAUGAAACUCUUUAAGUAAAGUAAGACCCCUGUGUAUUUAUUCUCGUAUAGCUGAGUAGCUAAGAGCUUCUGGUACUCGUAGGGGUCGAAUUGUUUUGCGUUAAUGGGGCGGGGCGCGUCUUCCGUUUACCUUAUAAAGCAAGCCACACCUAAUCGCCCUUGAUGCCAUCUUAUCUUUGCGGUCGUAGUCUAUCAUGGUCCAGUCCUAUUAAUUAGGAAAGCUUUUCACGGUCUUAGAGAAAAUGCCUGAAACUGCGAACUACACGAGCUCUUUUGAAAGAAAAGCAGAAACGUCCUUCGUACUCCAAUCUUAGAAGACUAUUGGGAUCUUAUCUGGGAUUUGAUAACACUGACUGACAGCACUCAAUUGACGGGACUUGGAGGCAGGUAUUUGUUGGUUUACUAUCGGAACGAAGGCACUACUACCGCCAGGGACGGAGACCACAGCGCGAUAGAGAAUAGGUCCCUAAACCAGACCACAAGGUUAUAAGCGUCGAGAGCCCAGGUCAAGGAGCUCUCUCGAACAGGGAAUUCGAAAGCCUAACCACCGCCCCCUAGUUUCAAAGCGAGUUUCAAAUCUAGGCGAGUCAGCAGAGCAGGGAAUUCCGCUUUUGAUCCUUACUUACCGGAUAAAGCAAGGGUCUUCUCUUCUGCCUCUAUUCGCGUUGAGUCAGUAACAUAGAUCCACGUAUCCUGCCUGCUGCUUUUUGACUUGCUUUUAUCGAUCAAGCAUUCCUGACCUAUCUAUAGGUUCCUAUAGUCAUCCUACUAUAAGCAUAAGACCUUGAAUUGUCUUCUCUCUAUGGGUAGAAUUUUAAGGAAUUGAUUCAAAGAGGGUGUAACAUUCCUUGUAGUUUAUUAAGGGGAAAGCAGAGAGUUUGACUUCAUCUCGAACCAAAAACGAACCUAACCUCCCUGGAGCUUGGUCAUCCCAGAUGAGCUGAGGGCAUUCGUGAGGACGCAGCCGUGUCCCGGGUCGGAAACGGGCAUUCUCGCUUAUAAGUAAAGCAUUGGCGCGGCAGAGCUUCAAUCGAAAUCGUAAUUCCCCCCGUGUUUCAGGCAUUUCAUUAGGUCCCCAGUAGUGGCAGACGACCAGUAGUUGCAGCAGCCUUAAAGCACAAGUAGGACAAGCUAACCAGGGAACAGACAAGGGAAGACUUUCAUAAAGGAGUUACAGACUCAAAUAAAAGAAGGUAAGCCUAAAACUCAAAAGCGGGAAUGCAGGGUAGAGCUUGGGCUCGGCCUGUGUCACUACUUCACAAAAUUCUGUGGUUCAUCUGUUAGCCCACCGCACUGGUUAGUAGAGAGCAUAGAACCAAACUUAUUAUUAUCAGAAUAUAGGUACUAGAUCCUAGACAUAAAACCUACCCACACCCAAUCUCAUUCUUUAGGUCACCUUACAGCCUGUAUCUACAGUCUCUGAUUCUUUUACUUAGUUUACUUGGAUUGAGAAUAUGUAUUUGACCUAUGAACCUACCCCGCCUGUCUUUCGUUCUAUAACACUGGGCUAUAACACUGGGGCCAAAACCCUUGUCUACUUUGACGAAGAGUUGAACUAACAACUGGGAAUUUUGCUUAUAGGAGAAAGUCGCCAACAAGUCCUAAUCGGAAUGGAACUAGUGCUUCCAAGAACUAACUGGCUCUAUAAUCAGAAAUGAGCUACUGCACCUAAAGCUGUCCUUACUGCUCUUUGAUUCGUCUACUGCUAACACCAUUGGCGCUGGUGAAACUAUAUUCUAAUAUAUUAUAAGAGAGUCGAAUCGAAUUGGUACCAAUAAGGAGAAAAUGAGCAAUAAAGAAUACAUGGUAAGACGGACAGGCUAAGAGAGGGGGAGCUACAGAGUGCAGCUAACGAGUAGCGGAAUGAGAUAAAGCAAUGGUAGCCAACAAAGCAAGGUUCGUAGGCAGUGAAGCAGGGUUCGAUCCUAAUAGCUAGUAGGCUCUUAGCACCUUGUUAUCCGUGUUUGGAUUCGCUUUCUCUUGUUUCUUCUUUGAAGUAAGUAGUACCAUUCCCUGUUCCUUACUAUAUUGCCUUGUUAGCAGAUAAGGUAGUACUUGUCUCUUCCUUUACCAAUAAAGAUAUUUGUUUCAAAUGAACUCUAACAUAACUUCUGUGGUGUUGGUGUGAAAUCCAUCAUUUAAUACAACUUAUAUAGCUUCUCAUUUCUUUUAUGCCUAUAACAUAGGAGUAUCCGAAUUCAAGUAAGCACAGGGUAAGAGCAAAAGAGCAAAAUAAGAGUCAAAGAGUGGAGUUAAUAAGGAUGAAGCUCUGGGAGAGUGUCUAGGCAGUGGGUUUCUGUAAAAGAAUAAGAUAAAGUAGUUCAAGGUUGAAGUCGACGAGUGGAAUGCCCCAACUCGAACAGUAGAAAUCAAGAAAGGAAUGACAGGGACAACUACUUGAGUGGAGUGGAGGCUAUAAGCUAUGAAGUAAGGCUCGGCUCUCCAGAGAAGAAAGAAGAGACUACACGAUUGAUACGCAUAAUUUGCUGUUGGAUUACUUAUUGCCAUUUUCAUUCCCGUACUGAUAAGGUGAAUUCCGUAGGGGCGCCUUUGCUAUAAUACGACUUAGUUCAAUUCUGAAUACUACAACUAGGGGCCUUAGAGCUCAGAGGCUCGUAUAACAACAUAGGGGAACGGAGCCCCGGACUUUCAAACUAAAACAAACCCCCGGCAUUCUGAACACAUGGCGUACAUAGACGCAUGCUAAGUAAUAGAAUAAUGAGUCACAUUCUCCCUAUCCGCCCCCGCGAGGUGACUACUUAGGUGCAUUCUUAAUACCCCCUGAGAGGGACAUUCAUUCCCUAAAGCAGCUUGCAUUCUUUGACGGACUUGUUUGAUUCCUAUUAUUUGUAGUGGAAAUCCCAGUUGAUAGUUUAGUUCACUGAGGUCGAUUCCCCGUCGAUAGUUUCAUUCGGAUUAGUAUGGGUUUCACUCUUGCCAGUAUUAGGUUGAAGAGCAAGGAAGUAGGGCUUGGAGACAGUAGUGUUAGGCCCAUAUUUAGCAGUGGAUUUCCCUGUUAGUAGGGUGAGUCUUGUUGGAAGUAGUGCAUUCACAGUUCCGAGUUCGGGCCUUGUUGUCAGUAAUUUAGUUCCAAGCUCCAUACUUAUAAGUUCUAGUUGAUCGGUGGAAUCAGACUCAAAGAAGGGGGGAACGAGACAGACUCAACCUUUUGGGGGGGGAGUUUCUAGAUUGAAGAAGCGAGUCAAGAACGCAUCUAAGCUCCGCUCCGGGGGUGCUACUAGGGCUUUGAAGGCAUUAGUGGAAGUUUGCUAGUAGGGAGGACAGGCUUGGUUCGCUGAGUCCUAUUUCGGAUAAGCAAUAGUGCCAUUCGCCAGUACGGAUGCAUUUCUGGUUAUUGUAACUGAACACCGCAGAUCUUCUCUACUGCCCAUUGGCCUUGCUGUACUGUAUGUCAAACGACCUUCACUCUACGUAUUGCUCCUUGCAUCCUUUAGUAUGCCGUUGCUUCCUUGCAUUCUGUAUAGCUCGAUUCUUGGGCUCCCUUUCUAGUGUCUUGGCGCGCCGUUGCUUGGCCCUAUUUCAUAGCUGCCGCCGAACUAAGGACUCAAAACCUGGACUGGAAUUCCGGAAUCUCUCUCACACAACUGAUAUAGAUAUAGGAAAGCAACAACACUGGAAGUGCAUUCUAUAAGUAAGUAACCUAACGGAUAAGUGCGCUGAUCCUAUAGGAGAUUCCGCAGCUGCCACUGUUUGAACUAAUGAAGCAAAUGAUUUANNNNNNNNNNNNNNNNNNNNNNNNNNNNNNNNNNNNNNNNNNNNNNNNNNNNNNNNNNNNNNNNNNNNNNNNNNNNNNNNNNNNNNNNNNNNNNNNNNNNNNNNNNNNNNNNNNNNNNNNNNNNNNNNNNNNNNNNNNNNNNNNNNNNNNNNNNNNNNNNNNNNNNNNNNNNNNNNNNNNNNNNNNNNNNNNNNNNNNNNNNNNNNNNNNNNNNNNNNNNNNNNNNNNNNNNNNNNNNNNNNNAAAAGCCACGAAAACGGGACUGUAUGAAGUCAACAAAUAAUGCAUUUUAUCCAUCGAGCGCAGAAGCCCGCCAUAAAAGCAGAUUUGAUUGCCGGAAUGGAUCUUAGCGCGGAAGCUUACUUCUAACUUGCUGCUAGCUUUCAAACGACUUCUUUCUUCUCCAACUGUUGAUUCUGUUUCCUGUUUGAAUUGUGCUUCUUUCGAGUCCUUGAGCAUAGCUGAAAGGUCAUAGGCAAAAGAGGAUCACUAUCGGCUGUUUGUAGACUCUUGUUCAAAGCAAGCGACUCUCCUCUCCAGUCCAUUCUCGCUUGUCAAUCGUUCUCGUACCGUGUAUAUAAUGGAAUUGGGUAAUUAGAAAUAGAAGAUUUGUUUACACUAGAAUUCCAUGAUUAUAUGCUUGACGCAACAAGCGACUCACCAACACUGUCACCCCAAUAAAUAGAUUCUCUUCAUGAUUCAACAAGAGCAGAAAGAUACGUGUAUUCAUCCGCUUUUUUCGCCUUUAUUUACGGGUAGUUCUAUGAUAUUAUUUAUAGUCUAAAGUCAGGGCAGCAAAGCAGCCUACUUACAAUUUCCUCUUUUCUUUCUUUCGCAAGCCCAUUGCAUUAGGGCGGAGAUGGAAUAAACGGACAGUAACUGAGCCCGAACUUCCUGAAUGGACAGGGAGAAUAGUAUAAACAAAUGGCAUAUAUGCAAGUGUAACGAUUUCUAUGUUUCUACGAAAAGGAAUGCAAUGCUCGAAAGGGAUAGGGAGAGUGAGAGAUUCUAUCUUUAUUGUCUCUAUUCUCGAUAGCUUAUCUAGAUUGAUCGGUAAACUGUUUUUGAAUACUAAGGACCAAGACAAUGGUUGUCACAGAUCAACUAAACGUGAUUUCACUGUAUCUAGAAGUUAUGCUAAGAAAGCCGCUUUGAAGCAAGGUCAGCUUAGGAUUCUUUUGAUCUCUAGCUUCUCUAUAGCUAGAAUUAGCUAAACUGCUUAUAAGCUAGACAGCCAUUCCAGUUCUAUAGCUUAGAAUAGCUAGAUAGUUGCCAAUUUCCUUGCGAGACACAAUGUCUAUACGAGGUUUUUGACAUGCCUAUCCAUUCCUUACGCUUUCUUUUAAGCCUUUGGAAAGUAUUAGUACCCUAUAGUUUCAGGGUGUAAGGGAGAGAAGAAGUUAAGUACUCUAUGGAAUAUGGGUUAGAGCGAGUGACCAGGUUCCUUUGCAGUCGGUCCAGCCAUUUAGGGUGCAAGUCCUAUUCAUCUAGAGCCAAUUUCCGUUAUCAAGGAAGGAAUCGAGCGAGUGUAAGUGCAGUGCUUCGCUUGUUACGUGUAAAGAAUAUCUCCUUUGAUUCUAAAUCCUCUUUCCUCUUCAUGUACAUCAAAGCAAUGAAAGCCAGCAGUGGUAGGGUCAUUUCUAUAGUGGAGUCCUGUAUAAGAUAUUGGCUUAUUCGAUAGCUUAAGAGAAGAUAUUAGAGUCCGGGAAGACAUUUCCAUUCUAGUCAUAUUAAUCUAAAAUGAGCUUAGUAUCCACAAAGGGGAUUUCGAGCCUGCUAAAAUCUAUGUGAACGGGGGCCCUUAUUUAGUUUAGCGAUUACUAAGGAUCGAUUGCGUUGAGCACUUUGAGAUCAGCUAGCUCAUUCCACUUCUUAUUACUUGGUAGCGAGUGCUUUUUUCUAAUGUUUUAUAGGGGUAGGAGUUUGUGUGUGAUGAAGUCUCUUCUUAUCCCUUUUAGAAACACAUAGCCAACUAUUAUCAUAGGCUUAGUUCUUGGUAGGACAUGAUCUUAUCGGCCCUUUCUUAGUCCAGAAGGUCAUCUUUAGGGACCACCGUUUACAGAGGAAUUUCUCGGUCGGGGAUAAGGUUGUUCCAAUCUUUUUCGAAGGCUAGAGAAGUGAAAACGGGUCCCGUCCCGGUUGAAUGAUCCUUUGUUUGUGUCGAGAGGUUUUUCUUCUUUGUGUGAAACGCCCUUUUACGGGCGGAGUUGCCUUUUCCCCAAUGGGGUCUAGCUUGAAGGCAAGCCAAGCAAGUAGGCUAUUGAGACGAAAAUAACAACCUUUUUCUGCUUACACGUCUUCAAAAGGCUAUAACAUAGGUAUACUUCAAGUAAUACAAAUAAUGAAUUGCCAACCGGAUGGAUGGGGUUAAGGUCCUUCCCCGCUUACAACCGUAGCUACUCCUCACCCGCUUACUUCGUCUCCUCUUUUUUGAGGACUCCGUUUCCUAACAGAAGCCCUGCGUUCUACUUCGGUUAGAAACUGGUGUGAGAUAUACAAGUUCUCAGUUAUAAGAACUCGGAGUCUAAGAUAGUAACAAGAGAGAACUAAGUGCAAUACUACCAACCGACUAGUGACGUGCAAUACUACCAACCGACUAGUGACCGGGGUGAAUUAGUCAUUUCUUACGGGAGCAGCUCAUCGGUCAUGCUAAGGGGAAGACGAGGGCGAGUUAUACAUACCACUUGAAGAUCCUAGCUCGACUAGUAUGAACCUACAUCCAAAAUAAUAAAUGAGGCUCCGUCUUAGAAGCGAGCGACUGGUAGCUUGACAAGGACUAAAACAACCUAACACUCUCAAUUUGUAUUCCCUCCCCAGAAUAACAAUCUUCAUCGGAAGGAAGGCUAGUAUCCCAGAAAACCACUUCCCUUUUACUAGACCACUGAUGUAGAUGUAGACAUCCCCGUUCCCUAAUCCAAUUUCAUCAAGCGGAUCUUGGACUUAUUAAGGGUAUCAUCAAGCUUUGCCGGUCUAGGGUAGGGUUUAGUUCCUUCAUCUGGAUCACUUCUUAAGAGGAAGAUUGAAUACUCUAUCAAGCUGCCUUUUGUAUGGCAAUGUGUUUUUCCAGAGCAGAAAUUCAGAGCUUCCGCCACGCCAUGAUUCUCUCACUUUGGAAGGUAAAGAUCUAUCUGGCUCUUUCUUGUCAGCUGGUGCUCAUUUGGAUAAGCAGCAGGAUCAACGACUGGAUCAGCUGGAACUACAAAAGUAUAUGGCUAUGGAACAAUCAAAGAGACUUCGCUUAGCAAGGAAUCAACGUUCACUUCUUGCUUGUUUGUCUGCGAGAUAGGUUAUUUACCUUAGUUGUCGUGGAUAGAGAUUCAAUGAAUUCUUUGUUUUCCUCGGUGUAAGAAAGAGUGCAAAGAGAGAAAAUCUUAGAUGCACUAUAAUCUGGGACUGUAUGACUUAACUCAAAACAACAAACUGGUAGAUCACCACCAGCAACAGCAAUCAAGCAUUUUAGGUAUAGACCGUCUGAAGUAAGAGUAGGAACAGAUACAGUUAUCAAGGAAGAUGUCUUUCUUUGUUAGCGACGAAGCAGGAAGUACUGAAUGCUGAAGGGGAGUGGAAGUUUAAACAGAAGCAACAGAACCCUCUAUUAAGUUUAGUCAAAGUAAAGUAGUCCGAAAACGGAUUGUAUGCCGCUGCUGGCCCUAAGCUUGGCGCCUGACUCUCCUCUAAAGGAUGAAACUAGCACUGGCACCUCUCUCGUCUACUACUAAGGUACAGAGGGCUCUCCCCUAGACUUAGAGCUAUAGCCAGCCUACUUAAUCUCACAAGCACUAACACCUCGCUCUCCACUUCACCGCGCUUCAGAAGUAAGAUAUUCCUCCCUUUACCCUGCGCCAUCUUUUGAGCGGUCAGGUCCAGUAUCAAGUUUUGUAUUCAUUUCUUCGCGUAUCAAUACGAGUAUCUUCUCUGGUUGUUCAACCUAGGCCUAUCAAAAGUAUAGGAUUCGACAGCCGAGAUGAAUGAUUAAAGCCAGAGAACUCACUACCACAAAAAGGAGAUUUGGUAGCCAAGAACUUAUCGUUAGCGCAUCCCGAACUAAACUUAAAGAACAAACAACACUGUCAACGCAACACUCCAACCUGCGAGCUACAGGAUAAAGCCAAGGAUUAAGGUGAGAAGGUAAGGCUUGAACGCAAGAUCUCUCGUCUACUCUUCUUUCUUGAAGCUAUAUGCCUCUGUUCAACGUAGCUAAUGUUAACAGAAUUGUGAGACUAUGCCUCUGUCCUUAUAGUAUCGCUUUAGGAUGCCUCUAUGAAUGAUUAAAGCUUAAAGUCAGCAGUAAGUAGUGAGGAAGCAGAACAAGAAGUAACGGAACAAGCUUCUUAUGAUUGUUUCGGGGUGCUAAAACGAACAAGGGAACAAUAAAGCGCUUUGUAGCACAGUCGACUCGGGUGCCUAUAUUUAGCUGACUUUCCGGGGUCCCCAUCUGAGUUCGUUUAUUGCCUCCAUUCGUUCUUUAAGUAGUUAGUCAGUAAAAAAGAGCUCACUAACGCCCGGAUGAACUAAAAAGGCACUGAAGGUCUAUGUACCGUCUGGUAUUCCAUAGGGUUGGGCCAGCCUAGAGCCAGAGCUUAUGCGCGUUAGCUAGUUAAGAGCCCUAGUUUAGUAUAUUAGUCUAUAUAGAGAAGUCAUAUUCCCGCUCCGUGGGCUUUUUUUAGGAUCUACGAAUUGAGUAUGUGGGCUUUUUCUAAGCUUAGUGUUGCUUUCCUUGGUUUCGUUCUGUAUUUCAUGAUUGAACUCCCCGGUUCCCAUUCUACAAUAUAUGUUUUCUCAUUAGAAUAUUUGACUAUACGCUAUAUCUCUCGUAUCCCAUAUCCACUUGCGAAACUUUCUUUAGCUCAACUCUCACUCUGCCUUUCCAGCAUCUGGGCUUGCCCCUUUCCUUUGUACGGGUAAGAAGAAUCCGAAUAAAUACUAAUAGGAAUAAGUAGCUGAUAAAAAGAAUCAGAAUCAAUAUGAUGCUAAUAAGACUUACCGAAUCCAGUCUACUGCUUCUAAGAUAACAACUAGUGCUGACAGGGCUUACCCACCAACUAGGAAAUCCACCCUCAGAGACCAAACUAUUAAACUCAUACCGAUCUGACUUUAGCGCUUAACUGGCUUUGAUUCUUUGACUUACUACUUGGAUUCUGAAGUUGGUUAGUUGAUGUCUAGAUUCCCCUACGAUGGACUAGGCCUGCUCCUCUCAUUACUUAGUUCAGAUGUUAGUCUGCCCUUCCUCUUCUUGACUCUAAGAACAAUGGUCCGGAUCCACUUGGCGCUUCGCAGUUAAAGAAUCGAGUGGAGUAGUUGGAUUGCCCGUUGCUAGUUGUCCUGUUGUUGUGUCCGCUGUUGAUUUCCCUUUCUCUUGUUAAUAUCGAUAAACCAAUCCAAGACUUCUGACUUAUACAACUAAUGGUGAAAUACAGGGUUAAGGUCAAAGGAAGCAGACUCCAUCUAAGAAGCAAGGAAGCCGGUAAGUAAUGGGAGAAUGAAAGAGGGAAUAGUCAGACUAGAAGGCCGGUAAGCAAUACGAUUAUCCCGUUUCUACCAAGUAACUACGGAUACUAAGUCCUCUACUGCACUAGAUCGAUCACCCAAUCAGUCCAAGAAUGGAAAUUCCCACUUACCUGGCCUGGCGCACCUAAAAUAGUAACCAAAUGCAGUAACUCAACAAUAAAGUCACUCAAUAAAGUAGCAACUAAAGAAUGGAUUUCGAAAGUCAGGAUACAUGCGACUAAACAGAAAUGAAAUCCCCUUCGAGCUAUCGGUGCCCACUCCUUAUGGUUGAUCUGGAAAUACUUGAGACUUCUGUAGAUAGGAAACACAGAAGGGGACACCGGAUGGUUCAUAAGGAAUCUCCAUUGCACCCCAUCAGGCAAAGGACCACUACAUGGAGACCAUACUACCAUACAAUCUAGGGACCCGGUUAUCGGACUUACUACCUUGACUUGAGUUCUACAACUAAUAACUAUCAGAAUUGAUCUAGUGCCUUUAAUAGUCUAACUUGGAACUCUACCCUGAGCUAGUGCCUCUAAAUACUUCAACUCAAAGCUGCUCUGACCUACUUGAUUCUGAAUUUCGUUAGUGAGCCCUUCCUGUCCUGGAUUGUUCUAUUAAUUGCCCCGCUCCUUUGCUUUCAUACCAAUACUGAUGUCAACAACAAGGCUUGCUUACUGGAUUGUGUACUCAAACAUAGCCUCUUAAGCUAGGAAUUAACGACUUCUUCCCCAACCCUAGUGCUACUAUAAGAAUUGAGCUACUGUUAAUAUAAUAAUACUAGAUAUGAUGAGGCAAAGGGCCAAGCAACUAAGCAAUAAGUCCAGUCGCUUGUUUGGUUCGUUGCUUGUUCUGUUUACUCUCGGGGCUUGUUCGAACGGUGAACUCCGUAAAGCAAUGGGCGCGAAAGAGAAGAAGAUAGCGUUCAUAGUAGUGUAUAUAAAGAAAGGGUAAAUAACACAAAGCAAUAGGCACGAAAGAGAAGAAGAUAGGUUUCAUAGUGUAUAGAAAGGAAAGGGUAAACAACACAAAGUCAGGAAGCAUGACUCCUUACUCACUUACCAUCCCCGUUACUCCACUCCGUUAGCGCUUAGCUUAAUAUACUUAGCUUGUUUACUAACGCUCUGAUAACUCAACUAGUACUUACUUUUAUAUGGGCGCACACCUAAUCAAUAGAAAUCCAGAAUCCCCCUUACUCGAGGCUCAAUAGAAGAAAAGAAUCACCCUACCUACUCUAUGGGGCUUCAAUAUAACAAAAGAAUCACCCUACACACCUAUUAGGAAAGAACAUAGGAAAGGUAAGGCAUAAGGGAAUAUAUAUUUAGAUAAAGGUCGAGGUACAGGAAAGGCUAAGUUCAGAGCUGGUUCGGGGCGGUAUUUGAGUGUUGUAUAGGAAAGAAGGUUCUAUUUGAAUAAGUUCAGUGUAAACCAUAAAUUCUACAAAUGAAUCCUAAAAAGACAGAAAGAAAUGGAUAGAAGAGUUAACUAAGGGCAUUAGAACUGUCUCGAUGGAAUCGGGUUGAAGGAAGGGAAGGGGCGGAUGAGGGUUUUGCUUGUGCGCGAGGAAAGAGCUCUAAAUCGUAUUCAGCCUCCACCGGAUUCAUAAGGAGUGAGUGAGCUUACUAAUAUCUUCUAGAUAGAAUCAGUCUACUUAACCAACCGCUCUAUACAAAAAGAUUCUUCAAAUGGUGAAUUACUUGACUUUGAAAGAUUCUUCAAAUGGUGAAUUACUUGACUUUGCGCCUUUCCCUAUGUUGUGAGGUGCGUGCCCAUCUAAUAUGUAAUAGUGGAGUUCGCCUAAGUGCUAACGCUUACUCUUGGGGUGGGGGUGCGGGGAACAAGCUUAGUAUAGGAACAGGCUACUAUAACAAGCAAGUAUACGAGAACAAGAAGCCAGGCAGUAAUUAGGCUCUUCCAUUCAAGUAGUAGGGGAUAGCUGCACCUAUAUUCUCACUUCCAGUUUCAGGAGUCACAGAGUCGGUUUGUUUUUUCACUCCAUUCUAUUAUAUACAAUGAACGCAUAUUUCCUUUCUAGCCUAUUCCUUAUAGCUUUUUUGAGUUACUACAGUAAGGUUAAGAAAUGACAUAAGAUGCUGGGGGUGAAAGGCACCUACUAAGAAUGCAUGGCAGCAGCUUUAGACAGACAAUGGAGGCAGAUAUGGACCUUUUCUCUUAUAGGAUGCCCCGAUAUUCCAUUCAGUAGAGGCAGCAGUGUUCUUAAGUGAGUUUAGAAAGAAGCCCAGGACUGCUUUGCUUAUCUUCUUUCAAAAAAGAGACUGCUUGCUAGUAUUGUAGGGGAGCACAUUAUACACAAGGCCAUUAAGAAGUCUGGACCAGUUGUAAAGUCAUAAACUCAUUGAAAUGUUGACUACCUACUAGCGCACAACAGCAUUGCUUCCCUAAUGGAAAACUCACUUGUUAACACUUUAAGAACUCCGCUAGGCACCGCAUCGAAUCUUUCGACUUCCUCCGCUAACUCUGCCAGGUACCCCGCAACAAACAAGCAAAGAAUAUUCCUCUGAUCUUGCAAAAUAUAGGUGCGGAACCAAACUAGACCAUUGACUCUGAAACGUAACUCAUUUAUUCUCUCUUACACCCCUAUUAUAGAAUCAAGUCACCCAACUAAGAAGCACUUAUUACUUACUGCAGGGCUGGCUCAACACACAAGUCAAGUAAGCUAAGACGAGUUAAUAGCACAUGGGCACCGAAUCCUUCUACUUCUUCUGCAAACUCAGUGCCCCUACUAUAAUUCCCCUCAACAGUAAGCGUUAGCGAGUUCUUAGGCUUCAAGUUGAGUUAUUCUUGUUGGCGCCCUAUAGCAUUAGUCAUCCAGCUCUUACAGCAAAGAGUCUAUUCCAACAGUGCCACGGCCCUCU
Molecule: long non-coding RNA, 47165 nt
Filed under: Musa acuminata (dwarf banana)
Lineage: Eukaryota; Viridiplantae; Streptophyta; Magnoliopsida; Zingiberales; Musaceae
Description: long non-coding RNA (MACU_LNC010009)
Source: RNAcentral